UUUUUUUUUUUUGAGUUGGUUCUCAAUUUCAGUCUUGAAAAUGUUGAACAUGUCCAAUGACUAUGAUUUUUCUGAAAUGAGAUAUAUGUAGCUAGAUCUUGAAAAAUUCUCUAUAAAUGUUAUAAAAUAUUGUUGACCAUUCCAAGCAGAUAUAGGAAAUGGCUCACAAAUAUUUGUAUGUAUAAGGUCUAAGACGUCCAAUGACCUAUUGGUUUCAAAUCUUCUUUGAUUGGUUUGUUUCUCUUUUAUACAGUUAACACAAUCAUCAAAAUUUAUAAAGUUCAAGCGGUCAAGAAUUUCAUUUGAUGCAAGUCUUUCCAUUCUCCUUUUGGAGAGAUGACCCAAUCUCUUAUGUUAUAAUACAGUCGAAUUCUCAUUGGUUAAUUUUCCCUUUACUCCUCUAGUACUCAAAUGCAAAGAUUGAUUAAAUAAACCAAUUGUAUCAACUAAAUAUAGAUUAUCAUAGUGCAAUAAAGAACCAGAACUAACUAAUUUUGAAUCAUGAAACAAUUUAAAUUUUUCAUUUUCAAAUGAACAAAAAUAAAUAAAUUUGUCCAAAAUAGAAAUAGAAAUUAAAUUUCGUUGAAAUGACGUUAUAAUAAAUGUUUCAUUAAGAUCCAAAUAAAAUCCGGUAUCUAACAAUAAUUUAAAAACUCCUAUUGUCUCAACUAAACUGUUUUGCUAUUGCCUACAUAGAUAUAUCUUUUAUUAUCAUUAGACUUUCGACAAUUCAGGUAAUCCUGUAUAGACACACUGAUGUGAGUUGUUACAUCAAAAUCUAACCACUAUGUGUUUCUAGGUGCCAAAGUUAAAUUAACCUUAGAACAAAUCAAAUUAAAAAACAUAUUUUUCUUAACAUGCUAAGUAUGAUAGUUGGUGCAAUGCUUCUUUUUAUGCCCUUCAAUUCCACAAAAGAAAGAACCGUUCUUUUUCGGAUUAACCGAUUUCUUUUAUUGUGUCUUUUGAGGUGCCAUACCUACAGCAUUUUUAUCAUUCUUUCUUUUAUGUCCCUUACUUUUAUUAUUAGUGAUUGAAAUCAUAUGAGCACUCUCUAUCUGAUCUUAUUUCAACAUUUUUUCUUCCUUUACACAGUGUGAGAUGAGUUCAUUUAGAGAUCAAGUCUCUUUUUGACCAUUGUAACUUACUUUAAAUUGGUAAAUUAUAUAGGAAAAGAUAUCAAAACCAAAUGCACUAGUAACUUUUCAGAAAGUACUAACUUAAGUACAUUUAACUUAGAAGCAGGAUGAGACAUCUAUAUGAUGUACUCUUCAAUAUUACCUCUAUCACUAUAUUUUAUUGAAAUUAGGCAUAUCAAAAGCGUACUUAUUUCAGUCUUUUCAUUUUUGACAAACCUUUUUUUAAUGUCUUGAAGGAAAGCCUUAGCGGUAGUUGUUGUUUUGGUAUUGUUCCUCUGAAUGCUUCUGAAACGGCCUUUUUAAUGAUCAUCAAACACAAGUUAUUUGAUUUCUCCCACCUUUCCUUAUCCUUCUUUUUAUCAGAGGUACUUUGAUCUGUAAGAGGUGGAGAAGAAUCAGCACUUAAUGCAAGGUCGAGAUCCAUUAUUUUAAGAACUAUCAAGAGAUUUUUUUUUUCAGAAUUUGAAGUUUGUGCUAUUCAACGUAGGAAUAUUAUUGAUAUUGGUAGUAUAUUUGUAAGAUCAUGCACAACUGAAUAGAAACUAUGAAAUAAUUAAAACAAGUUCACAUAGACCAAAAUUAUAAUAAAUUCAAAUAAAAGUAACCACAUCUCAAGAUAUCGAUGUUCCAUUAAUAUUUUAUCUUUGGAUAGAAAUAUUAACAUCUAAAUGAUAUCUUGGCGUAGUAAUAAACAUUGGCAAUAAUAACAUGUCAAAACCAAUUUAUAAUUCACAUGUAAAAAUCUAAAUAACCAUCACUGUUUAUUACGACAAGUGCACAUGCAAUUUUUUUUAAAAAUUGACUUUCAUUUGGAUCGAUCAAUAUUCACAAAAUUACAAAUACCCAACUAGUUAUAUUCUAGAACAAAUUAAUUUGCACGAAAGAGGUCAUUUUGGUGGCAUAUUGUUUCAAUUAAUUUAUUCUAAAAAAUAUAUAAUUUACUAAUAUUCAAAUUGAAAAUUACACAAAUUACACAAAAAUUUUGAUUAAAGUCAACUUUGAUCAACUCUAGUCAAAACAUGAUCAAACUAGUCAAAUUUGGUUGAACCAAUCAAUUCUGAUCAAACAUGGUCAAACUAAUUAAACUAGUCAAAUUUGGUCAAACCAGUCAAAUGGAUCAAAACUUGUUGGACUAAAAGUCUAUAUUCAUAACUUGAUUCAAAUUUAUCAUUUAAGUCCAAAUUUUUUUUUUGAAAUCCAUAAAUGCCUUAUAAAACUAUAUAUUUAAUAGGCCAACCUUAUGAAUUUUGUAAGGUUUAAAUGUGUUGUUUAACUUUAUUGGGUUUAUUCAAAUUAAAGAACCAUAAUUUGCUUAACAUAAAUAUAGACAUAUUCUCUUACACAAUGAAACAAGUCAAGAAAAUCCAAGUGUUAACCAAAUUAAGCUAUAAAGGUUCAUAUUGAAGACUAAUUGUAUGAAUUUUUUUUAUUUAAGUUUGAUUACAUACAAGAAGUUGGCCAACCAAUGUAUCAUAAUAAAUAAUGAAUUAGCCAACUAAAACAUCAUAGUAAACAGUAAAUUUGUAUAACAACUAAAGUAUAACAACUAAAGUUUGGUUACGAUGGAACCCACUAGAUUCAUGUGUAACCAAAAUAAUGAAUCGUAGGCGUGACUUGACCGAAGACAUAAACACAUAACAUUAGAAACACAAUUCAUGAAUUUCACAGGUUCACAUAAUAAUCAUAUAUUUAAGAAAACAAUGAGUCCGCUACCAGUGGCCAUGCAAACAAAACCAAAAGUACUGUAGUUCUUUAUUAAAAAAAACUCAAAAACUAUGAAUUAUUAAAUCCAAAUUAUUUCCCAAUAAUCAACCAUAACUUGCUCCGAUAGCACUUGUUAGUGGUUGUUUAUAUUGACUUUUAGUGAAAAUCAUCACCUAUUAAAUCCAAAAUUUUCAUGGUGAUUAUUGAGAAAUAAAUUAAUAACAAAAUUGUGGAAACGUACCUGGAUUCAUGUUGAUUAACUUGUAUUUCAAUCCUUAGAGAUUUUGAGAUGGUGUUUCAGAUCAACACAUAUUUGCUAAUCCCUUGAGAGAACCCUUUAGUUUCUCUCUGGUAUCUUUGCUGACGAUAUGAUAUUAGAAAAGAGUUAUUUUGUGGUACUAAAAAAUACGACAAUAAGAAGAAUACAUGUGACCCAGGGACCAUAACCUUAUUUAUAAAUAACUUACCUAUAAUCUUUUGGUUUUCUAUGUCAGCCCUCCAUAGAAAUAGAAAUUGUCCUUAAGUUUCUACACAUUAAAGGUUCACAUCUUAUUAAAUAUAUUAAAAUCCAAACUAUAAUUGACCAUUUUAAUUGAAUUUAACCGUAUUUGAUAGUUUGCAACACAUAAUUAUUCACAUAUAAGUCCAAUGUUGGAUUAAGUACUCAACAAGAGGUUCCUAGAUUUGUCAGUAAAAACCAACGAAUCCGUUGAUUUUUGAAAACUUGACAAUGUGCUUAUUAACCAAAAAUUACAUGCUCAUGAUGGCGCUAAAAGACCAUUCAACAAUUUUUGUGUCAUUGGACUCGACAAUGAAUAUUCAAAAUUACAAUAAACUUUAAAUAAUUUAUGAAACUCAUGAAUAGCACCCUCAAAUAUUUUACAACUAAGAUAAUAACUUUUUUGCACCUUGGGAACACCUCAAAUAAGUUUUGGAUAAAUUACACUAACCUUCCUCUAGUUUUGUAAAAGAUAGGGACCUCCCUCUUAAUUUUACAAUAAAAUAGACCUCCUAUGACGACCCCAUUUCUCUUUAGGGCGAACGCUUGGGUUUCGGUGGGCCGCCUGCCUAGCUCUCACCAGGGUUCAAUACUAGUCAAAUCUAAAUUUAAAGCUAAUCAACCAAUAAUAAAAUCGAUAUAAAGAAAAGUCGCAUCCUUAUAUAAUCAUUCAAGUCUUACAUCACAAAAUUCCCAAAAGGUACAUCAAAAUUUUCAAAAUACAACCAUCCAAAGUUGACUAAACCAUUUACAUCCAAAUUCUAAUCAAAAGGUAAUCAAGUCAGCUUCUCCAAAAAUCUUUCCAUUCCGAGCUCCUGUUCAGGAAAACAAACUGGAGGUGAGCUAGCUCUCAGUGAGACCAAGAAAAGCAUACAAACACAUAAGUUCAAGUAACAAUAACACUUGCACAAGAAAUAUAGUUAGAAAGUUCAUGUAAUUCACAAAUAAUAGUAAAGCACAAUCAAUGAGGAUACGGGAGCUCUCAGGAGCUAAAUUCCUAUUGCUUUGAACAAGGCUUGAUCUAAUACCUUCACGUGAUGACACUCCGUCAACCGGGUAGGUAGCAAGUCCGUAGAAACCCCGCUUACAUCCUCCAUCCAUCGUUUCACCCUCUCGGAUCCGUAACCAAACACUCACUGGAAGGGCAAUACUACUCGAGUAUGCCAAGCAAGAGCUCAAAAAUUCAAGCUUAUAAUUUUCUCAUGGUUCACCAAGUUUCUCGACCAAGCCCAUGCCAGCUCGAUUCGUAAAGUUAGCCAAUGAGUUUUGGGCAUCCCCAGGUGUACAAGUACAAUUUGCCAAGUUCACGCAAUUCAAUUGUCAACUCAUGUUCACGCAAGUCAAUUGUCUAGUUAUGUAAAAGAGAACAAGUACGAUAAAGUACACACUCAUCUCGACAAGUCCAAAUCACUUCAUUAACAAGAAACAAUACAAGUAUUUAGCAACAAUUCAUGCACUUGACACUCACCAAUUCAAAAGCAAGUGAGUAAAUAAAACCCUUUAGUUGUCCACACCGGGAUUCCUUUCGAAACCCUCUUGAGUACCUGAAAAAAUAGCGACUAACCAUCACUCACAGAUACUCUAGACCGCUUAACAUUCAAGGAAGAAAAUGCACUAGCUUAAAACUUAACAACGCCUUAAAAGAGUCUUAAUUCAUUGAAAAUCAAGAUUCGAAAAUGAGGAUUUAAAGUCACAAGGGAAACUUGUAUCAUCCAUGAAAUCAAAUUUAAAAUGGACUAUCAAUUUCAAAAGGAAGUUGGGAGUUCUUAAAAGUUCAUUUUUUAAGAAAUCAGAAAUUUUCAACUUUACACAACAAUAUUUGGAAAAUCAUAUCUCGAGUUUGGCAAGUCCAAAAUAGGAAACUUUAUACCAUUGAAAACUAGAUUCAAAGUACUAAAUUUUUCCCGAAAACACUUUUCCCAGAUCCCAACCAAAAAUCAUUCGAAUUUCAACUCAAACUUACUAUUUCAUGAAGACAGGGCAGAACCAGUUCUUGUUUUUUAGCAAAGUUUGAAAAUUUAGCAAAUUUCACAGGUAUUGAAUUAACCUCUGAAAUUUUAAACUCGGUAAGAGUUUCAAGUAAAGUUUCAAACACAACAAGCGGAACUAAAUUUGGAUUUUUGAACAGCAAGAUACAACUAUUUGACGAUGGCGAGAUUUCACGACCUGUUCAACAAUUUUCCAGUUACCAGUUUCGACACAGUUUUGAAAUCAGACCAUAUCUAACUCUACACAAGUCCAAAUUGAGAAUGGUUCAUGGGUUUAGAAACUAGAUUCAAAAUGUUUCAAAUCACCAGAAGACAUCGUUUCCAAAAUCCUUUCACAAGAGGGACGAAAUUAAGACACAAGAUGCAACUACACAGUUUCUCUUGGACAACCAGGUAAAACAGGUCAGUCCACUUUGCUAAUUCGCUACGGCUCACUCAAAACGAAUUAGCAGAGGAAUUUUAUACCGUUGAAAAAUAGAUUUUUAGUUCUACAACAUCGCAGAAGACACUUUUCAGAGAUUUUGUGAGGACCCGUAAAAUUCCCUUUAUAUCAUUUUAUUCUACUUCCUUUCAUGCAUUUUCUUUAUUUUAUUUUACUACCUUAAUUUUCUAGACAUUUUUAUAAGUGAAUAUAGUUUUUAAAUCAUUUUUCUGGUAUAAGUUAGCUCAUGUUAAUUUGAAGUUGUAUGAAGGACGUGGGACCUACUAGUGCGGUUAGUGCGAUGAAAUUUUGACGAUUAGUUGAAGUUUUGCAUUAAGGGUUAUUAUUUUACAAUGUGUUAAGAGAUAAUUAGAGGUUAACUAGAUAGAUUAACCUUUCGAAGACAAAGAGAUGAGAACAAAACCCUAAAAGCCAAGUGUCAUGAAAUCAAUGGAUGUUAGACUUUGACCCAACUUUCUUCCACCUUUACUAAAUACAAAUUUGACCAAAAAUCAUCCUCACUUUCUUGUAUCUUGGCCAAACCAUAGAGGGAGAAAAGGCAGGGAAAACUUCAUCUUCAUCAUCCAUUUUCUUGCUUCAAUCUUGAGUUCUAACCGAUUAAAUCGCAAACCCUUCCAUAAGAGCGUUAAUUAAGGAGGAUUCAAGGUGUUGGUGGAGUGGUUUUUGAAGAAGAAACCCUAACCUACCAUCUUUCCUAAGGUUCCAAGGUAACUUACCUAGAAAUCCCUUUUUACUCUUAAUAAUUGUAAAAUUGUGGAGUAGAGUUGUUAAAUAUGUAGUUUUGUGAGAAAGUUCACAGUUUAAGGUAGGUUUAUGGAACAUUUCAGUUUUUAUGGUGAUUUUUCUGCCCUCAUGUGAUGAGUAAUGAUUGGUUAUUGUUUAAUAGGUUUGUUAUGUGUAAUAUUGAGUUUUUAUAUGCUAGUUUUACUUGCCUACUGUGGGUGCUCACCUCGGCUGGUUCUCAAUUGCUGAGGUGAACCCUGUCUGUCCCUCACCCAAGCACGGUCAUGUCCCGCACACGACCCAUGACUUCGGCCAGAUCUUUGGCCGAACCAUUGGGAUGACCUCUGGACUCCCACCUCGGCUGCACGCUGAUGAUGUCAGCACCUCUGACAUCACCCAGAGCCAUUGCUUUAUCUGAAAAGUACCGGAUACUUUUAAUGGCUAUUGCGUAAGGCUCCCCGUCACCCUGCCCAAGCGGCUACAGUGUCAGAGUCAGGCCUCCUGACAAGGAACAGAGCCGUAAUGCCAGGAUGUGGGUCCUACCAGCAUGAGCCCCCGUCCUACCUUUCACUCUCACUCUAUAAAUACUCCUCAUGUACACCUAACAAGUAAGCACACUGUUCAUUCUCAUAUACUACUAUUUCUCUCGUUCUCUUACUAAUUUGAUCGUCGGAGUGAUCCCAGGGGAGAAGCCCCGCCUUCCACUUCGGACAAGUGAAUUCACCUCACCUCAUUUCAGAGAGGACUUAUUUAGGUCGGACCAACAACCUACCAAAAAUCACCUCUUCAAUUGGCGCCGUCUGUGGGAAACGAAACUACAGUUAAAAUGAGAUCCAUGUGCUCCAGAAGCGGAAGAGUUCAAUCAACCGGAGUUGGGUAGACCUCGGGAGCCCAGCAAGAUCGCAUUUCUGAACACCAAUGGUCCCCCAGGACCCAGCCCGCUAACGAGGAUGCCAUCGCCAAGAUGGCCGAGUUCGUAGCAGAUAACCCCAACAUUUUCGAGGAACUAGGGAGGUACUUUAAAAGGCAGGGGAAAGAAAAAGCUGAAUCUUCCAAGAGGAGAUCAACAAAGUCCCCUGAAGUACCUUCAGGUGAGGAUUCUGACGAGGGGCACCUCUCUCGGAGUACUUCCAAGCGCGCCUCUUCCAAGGCGACAUCCAAAAUUGCCUCUAUUUUCCGGGUGUUUUCCCGAGAACUGCUAGGAAAAUGAGCUGAGGACCCACCUCGGCGUCCCGGAGGUUUAGCAGCCGACUAUAUGAGGGCUCCGCCCUUUACUGAUAACAUCAAUGGAGAAAUGGUACCCCCAAAUUUUAAACUUCCAGCCUUGCACUUCUACGACGGCCGAGGUGGCCUCGAGGAUCACCUCCGCGCCUUCAUCUCUGCUUUCCGACUCUAUUGCGUCCCCGACGCCGUGAUCUGUCGAGUUUUCCCCAUUUUCCUACAAGGGACAGCCCGAAAAUGGUUCUGGGGCUUAGAGGCGAGGAGCAUUUCCUCCUUGGACGAGUUGAUAGAUUGGUUCAUCCACCGCUUUGUAUCGUCUCGUCCAAUCACGAAAACUUCAACUUACCUCUUGAACCUGCAACAGGCUCCCGGCGAGUCACUGCGCUCGUAUGUGCAGAUACCUGAUCAAAAUGAGCAGGUAACCAUCGCUGCCUUCACCAACGGGCUAAUUGCUGGGAUCUUCAAUGCCGAGAUACAUCGGGAUUACCCCCGAACACUUCGAGAACUCUGGGAAGGGGUAGACCAAGGAAUCCGAAGUGAGGACCUAAACCGCAUGAAGCGAGAAACUCAAGCUGCUCGUACUGGGCAAGUGUCACGGAGGAAAAGAGACACCGGCCGAGUCAAGCAGGGCCCCAGUGGCUCAUCGAACUAAUUCCGAGACCGUCGGAGUGUCUUUGAUCGGAUUGUAAAAGGCAGGUCGUCCACUUCGGACGCCGAACUAACACCGCUCAAUUCCAGCAGGUCACACGUCUUGGCGGUGAUGAGGCAAAAUCACCUCGGCCGAAACCCUCCUGAGAUCCCGGGGAGGAGAGAUAGGAGGAACUCCAACCUCUAUUGUGCCUACCACUGAGAUGUCGGGCACGAGACCGAAGACUGCAACGAUUUCAAGCGAGAAAUCGAAAACUUAAUCCGCCAAGGAUACUUGAAGCAAUUCGUCCGCAAGGAUGGAAUCCUCAACCAAAGCGCCUCCCACCGGGAGAGCCGGGGCCCUCGCCGAGAAGACAGGCGGGACACCAAGAUUCAUUGCCGAGGUCCCGAAGAUCGCAGGAAAGACCAGCGCCCACCGUGUGACGGAUCACUGGGCUACGGCCCUAACAUCGCCGGGGUGAUCAACACAAUCGCGGGGGGUCCGACGGGAGGAGACAGCCAGAACUCCAGAAAACGGACAUACCGCCAGGCCGGCAUGGAGGCGGCCGAGCCGAGCUCCCAGCUAUCCGAGGUGAUUACCUACGGUUUCAGCGACCCUAUCCCUGCGGCCUCCAGCAAUAACGAAACUCUAGUGAUCGAAGUUCUCACCAAUAAUUACAUAGUCAAAAAGGUCUAUGUUGACCCCGGAAGCUCGGUAGACAUCUUGUACUACCGAACUUUCGAAAGUUUGAAACUGAUCAGAGAGCAACUCACUCCUGUCAAAACUCCCCUUGUUGGUUUCGGGGGACACGUCGUCCACCCGGAGGGCAUGGUGACCCUGAUGGUGACUAUCGGGCGUCAUUCCCGCUGCCGAACUGUACCUGUCAGCUUUGCGGUGGUCAGAACAGACUCUCCUUACAACAUGCUAAUAGGCCGGCCCACGCUUAACGCUCUGAGAGCUGUCUACUCCACCUACCACCUGAGUUUCAAAUUCCCAACCCCUGCGAGUGUGACCGAGGUGAGCAGCGACGUGAACGCCGCCCGGGAAUGCUACCUCGCCACCAUCCAGGCAGCGGUCACACCCCGAACCGCAUCGAGAGCUGAAGAAAAGAGGCCAGCGGUCCUCUCCGUAGACAGCAUCGACCCUCAGAAGACAGGAGAACCCAACAGGCUUGAGCCCGGGGAUGAGGUGGAGCCAGUGGUUUUGGAUGAGGUAAGACCAGACCAAGUGGUCCAAGUGGGGGCCGGACUCCCCUCGCCCCUAAAGGAAGAAAUGAUCUACUUGAUAAAGGACCACCGAGACGUCUUCGCGUGGUCCGCUGAUGAAGUGGUCGGAGUGCCACCCGAGUUCAUGAUCCAUCAGCUCAACGUUAAUCCACAGGCCCGUCCUGUGAGGCAGAAACGACGGCACUUCGGCUCCGAACGCAGCAAGGCCAUAUCCGACGAGGUCGACAAACUCUUGCCCGUCAAAAUGAUCCAUGAGAUCCAAUACCCCACCUGGCUAUCCAAUCCAGUCAUGGUCAAAAAGGACACCGGAGGAUGGAGAAUGUGUGUGGAUUUCACAGAUCUCAACAAGGCCUGCCCCAAAGAUUGCUACCCUCUGCCGAGGAUAGACGCUCUCGUCGACUCGGCAAUGGGACACGAGGUUCUCUGCUUCCUAGAUGCCUUCAAAGGGUAUCAUCAAAUAGGAAUGAGUGAGGAGAACCAAGAGAAGACGGCGUUCUACACCGACCAAGGUGUCUAUUGCUACACUACCAUGCCAUUCGAGUUAAAAAACGCCGGGGCAACCUAUCAAAGGCUGAUCAACUGACUCUUCAAAUAUCAGAUCGGCCGUAAUGUGGAGGCCUGUGUGGACGACAUCCUCGUCAAAAAUUUGACCACUUCGGCUUUCCUGUCGGAUUUGAGGGAGGUCUUCGGCGUCCUGCGGGACUCAAGGAUGAAGCUAAAUCUCAAAAAUUACGUCUUCGGCGUCACCUCCGGAAAGUUCUUGAGGUAUCUGGUUUCCCGCCGGGGAAUCGAUGCCAACCCCAACAAGGUCAAGCCAUUCAGGACAUGUCUCCACCUCGGAACCUCCGAGAAGUCCAGAGGCUGAAUGGACGUCUGACCGUACUGAACCGCUUCCUGUCCCAGUCUGCUGAGAAAGCUCUGCCGUUCUUUAAGGUGCUGAAGAAGGCUGGUCAGUUCGCCUGGACUAAAGAGUGCUAGGCUGCCUUCGACAAGUUGAAACAGUACCUACACCACCUGCCCACUCUCGCUACACCUCGGCCCGAGAAGAAACUGUACCUCUACCUAUCCGCAGCCGACGAGGCUGUCAGUGCUGUGCUCAUCCGAGAUGAGGGCACUCAAGUGCCGGUCUACUAUGUCAGCCGAGCCCUUCGCGGGUCGGAAACUCGGUACACCCAGGCGGAAAAACUCGUAUCGGGACUAGUCCACGCAACUCGGUGGCUAAAACCCUAUUUCCUAACUCAUCCCAUUUCCGUUAGGACAUACCAGCUUAUCCGGCAGAUAUUGGUGCGUCCCGAGGCUUCCGGGCGCCUUACCAAGUGGGCUGUCGAAUUGGGAGAGUAUGAUCUGUCAUAUGAGCCACGCACUGCCAUAAAAGCUCAAGUUUUAGCCGACUUCCUUGCCGAACUCACCUUCACGGAAGGUCGAGAACCCACCUCCGCCAUUGCCGAGGUGUCCACCCCACACCUGUGGACGUUGUAUGUGGACGGAUCCUCUAAUGGGGAUGACAACGGAGCAGGACUGCUCCUAAAGGACCCCCAUGGGGAAGUGUGCUCAUUUGCCUUCCGUUUUGAUUUCCCCGCCACCAAUAAUGAAACUGAGUAUGAGACCUUAAUCGCUGGACUCCAGCUAACCCGCAGACUCGGUGCCCAACGGAUCCACGUCCGCAGUGACUCCCAACUGGUAGUAUUCCAAGUUCUUGGUGAAUAUGAGGCCAAGGAUGAGACCAUGCAACGGUAUCUCUCCAAAGUUCACCAGCUCACCUCAUACUUUCAAUCUUUCGAAAUCCAAAGAAUAUCCCGGUCCCAGAAUAGGCAGGCUGAUGCCUUAUCCCGGCUGACUUCCACAUCAUUCUCUGACCUCAACAAGACUAUUUUGGUAGAGGUGCUGAACGAGCCAAGAUACAUGCAAGAGGUGGCCUGUCCCGUACACUCUGGAGAUACAUGGAUUAGCCCGUUCAUCCUUUUCUUAAGUUAGGGAAUCCUCCCCGAGGACCGAGUCGAGGCAAGAAAGAUACAACGCAAAACUGCUCGGUACGCUCUCCGCGAGGAAGAGCUGUAUAAAUGCUCCUACCUCGGCCCGUGGCUGAGGUGCGUUACGCCUGAGGCAGGACGCCAGAUCCUUCACGAGAUCCAUGAGGGCCUAUGUGGGGCUCACGUCGGCCACAGAAUGUUAGCUAAGAAGACUUUGCUCCUUGGGUACUUCUGUCCCUCCGUUCGACAAGACGCCCAAGACCCUGUUCUCGGCUGCCCUUCUUACCAAGUCCACGCCUCUGAGCACCACCAGCCCUCAAAUUUCAUGGUUCCCAUCACCUCACCCUAGCCGUUUGAGCAACGGGGGACAGACAUCAUCGAUCAUUUCCCUAAAGCUGUCGGGGGUUAUACCUUUCUUGUAACUGCAGUGGAUUACUUCACUAAAUGGGUCGAGACCGAAUCUCUAAGGACCAUCACAGGGUUGGCGGUUCAAAAGUUCUUUUAGAAAUGCAUUGUUUGCUGCUUCGGCAUACCUCAGGUCAUCAUCUCAGACAAUGGAAGACAGUUUGCCGAGAACCCAUUUAGGACUUGGUGCGAGAACCUUGGCAUCAAGCAAAACUUCACUUCUGUAGGCCACCCCCAAGCUAACGGUCAAGUGGAGAAUUUCAACCGAACCCUCUUACAUGGUCUCAGGACCCGAUUACACCGACUUGGAUCAUCGUGGGUGGAAGAACUGCCCAGUGUCCUGUGGUCAUAUUGAACCACGCCGAGGUCAGCCACGCAAGAGACCCCUUUUUCCUUGACCUAUGAAGCCGAGACUGUCAUCCCUGUCGAGAUCCUUACACCCAGUCCCCGGCUGACAGUUUAUGCAGCCGAGGUGAACGAAGAAGAGAGACAGUUGGACCUCGACCUCGUCGACGAAAGAAGGGAUAUUGCCUCAACUCGGGUAGCUUCCUACAAGAACACCCUAACCCAAUAUUACAAUACCCGUGUCAGACACCGUCGAUUCCAGACAGGAAACUUGGUUCUCAGGAAAAACUCAGUCAGCCGAGUUGAAUCACAAGGAAAAUUGUGCCCGAAAUGGGAGGGCCCUUACCGAAUUGUAGAAUCUAAUCUUAGUGGAUAUUGUAAAUUGAGCUACCGAGAUGGCACACUAGUGCUAAGAACUUGGCACGCUGAGAAUCUUAAAUUGUAUUAUGCUUGAACAUUUCAUCCAGUUAUGACUUCAGAUGUUUUGUUAUUUUUCAACAUUUUGGUGUUACACAUCCGUUAUUAAAAAAUAAGGGGGACAAGCAGGGGACGAAGCGAGAAAUAAAAAGUGCCGAGAUGAGAAAAAAUAGACAUUUCAUUUAAUGAAAUAAGGCAAUACAAAAAUACAUGACCGAGAUCGGAAGUGUUGCUAAGCACCUCCCACCUCGGUGUCCCACCUAAACACCUACGAGCCUAGACCCCCGUCUCGGCUCCCUCCCCGGUCUCGGCACCCUCUUGGGCAGCCUUCUCGCUGGUUUCUUCCCCGCCGGAGUGAAGCUGUUCACCCCCUCCUCCGUGCUCUUCGCCGACCUUCUCGCCGACGUCUCCCCCAACUUUUUUUCCUUUAUCCUCCUCAAACACCUCGUCGAGCUCGGACAGCCACUUGUUGAAUUUGUCCCGGAUUUCGGCCAAGUUCCUUCCAGCUUGGAGACCUUCGGCCAUCCGAUCGCACAACUUCUUGGAGUUCUCGUUGUAAUUGGCAUGGUUUCUCAAAGAUUCCAAGGCUUCGGAGGAAAGAUGAGUUGCGGCCUCGUCUAUGGCUGAUGUAAAACCAAACAUAAAACUCGGCGUGAUCAGCUGGCCAAGGUCCUUGGUGAAGGUCUCAGUUUUCCGGAAAGCCUCCAUCGCCGAGGCUCCAGCACUUUCGAGAGCUUGUUCAUGAGACUUCUUCACCUCAUCCCCCCUCUUCUGCUCUUCCUCGAGAGCCGACUGAGGAUGUUGAUGGUAGUUUCGACCUCCUCCUCCUUCGUCUCGGCUUGUUGAAGCCGUCGUUGAAGCUCCGCCUUCUCGGACUCAGACACCACCAGUUUUUUCUCCAACUUGUAGAUCUGAUUUUGCAACUUGCCGGUGUCCUACUCCUCGAGUAGGGCACAGUAUCGGUACGCCAUCUCGGCCAUAAAGGCUGUAUUGGAGGCCGUGGUCACCAUCACGCUUUGAAUCACUUCGGCCGGAGUCAGCUUCCUUGUAAACUCCACGUCCCUCGACAAACUUGACUGCAUCACCAAGUCUUGUGCUACCCGAGAAUGGGUACACCUAUCAUUGACCGAAAGCUUCCACUCCGGACACCAAUGACCGCCGGAGUGGGUCUUGUCUUUUCCGGAAAACACCGGGGGGCUGUGGAAACAGUUUCACAGGGAAGUCCCCGUGACCGCAUUGAAUCGAGCCUUCAAUUGUUUAUCUCGGCCAUGAGGAGGCGGAAGUGCAGCGGUAAACCCGAGGGGCACCCCCUCUGGUACAAAAGAGGUGGAUCCCGUGGCUACGGCGGCCGAGCUGCUCUGGGCUGCCAUGGUUGGAGUGCUUUUAGCAGCAGAACUUUUGGACACCUGCCCUUGGGUCUUCUUUUUCGGCGGGGGCGCUGAGGUCUCACCGGAGCUCUUCCUCUUUGACCUCUUGGCCAUCUCGGCCGAGCCCGAUGUGACGAUGUCGGAUAGUUUUACCACUACACAAAAAACAAACAUUAUUAUUUGCCACAGUCGAAGUGAAAAAAAAGCCAUGAAAGAAAAAUUAUAAGGUUUCGUAAGUUUAGUGGAAAUGAAGGGAGGCUUGUCAGGGUUGAGUAAGGCUCGGCUAAUCCCCCCGUCGACCAGCAUGGCUUCAGGGUAGUUCCAACUGUACAGCCGAAGUCCAGACCUCAUCAACUUCUGGAAGGACUCCUUUUCGUAGUCCUCCGCUGAGUGAUCGGCCUUUGAUUUAAUGGGUCUCCACCAAAAACCCCAAGGGAAGUCCACGGCUGGGACGAAGACGAAGUCACGCUUCCAGUUCUUUAUCAAAGUGGGAGCACCGACCACAAGCUUCGGGAUGGUGUUGUUCCGAUUGCAAAUGUAGAACCACCCUUUAUCUGUCCCGUGUGCCUUGACAAUGUAAUAUCGGCGAAAGAGGUCCACGGUUGGAGUCACCUCCUGAUGUCGGCACAACAUCUCGAAUUCCACCAAGAUGCGAACCGCGUUCGGGGUGAGCUGAGUGAUCCUCAAGCUGAAGUGACAGAGUACAUCCCUGAGGAACUUCGACGUCGGCAUCCUCAGCCCGACCUCCAACUGUUGGAGGUAGAUAGCCACAGUGCCCAACCGGGGCUUAUCGGCCGAGUCAUUCGGCCCAGGCUACGUGAUGAGAUACCCCGGCCUGAAGGGGUACUUCCUUAUCAUCUUUUCGACUCUAUCUUUUCCCAUGCGACUUUUAAACUUCGGCAUCUUGCCGAAGUCAAUUUUGGCGACAUCCUUGGGGGCAACUGGCUCCAGUACGCCCUCAUCUCGGGGUAUUGAGGUUCCGAGAUCGGUAUUAUAUUCGACCUUGGAACCAUCCUCACUCAUCACGGAUGACUCCGACCCCGAGACUGUCCCGGUGACCUCCUCGGCUGAUCCCUCCAUAGCACUGGCCGUCGACCCCUCUGAGCUGGACGAAGUCAUUUCUUCUGGCUCCUCCUCGGCCUGGUAGCUCGGUCUCACGGUCUCCUUAUGGGUUUUAGCCGUUUUGGCCAUAGAUGAAAGAUGAGAUGAAGUGAAAGAUACUUACUAUUGACUACGGAUUCGGACGAAAUUGAUGACUUCGGCUUUGAUCUCGGCUGACAGGACUGAUCUCGGCAACGCUCACGAAUUUUGCAAGACUAAGGCGAAACUAAAAAAAGUGAUGGGCCAUGCAAUGAAAAAGACCUCCUAUUUAUAGGGUUUCGGGGGAAUCCGAAGAGGCGGCAAAAAGGCGAAAAGUCGACCACGUUCAAAUUCAAAGGAACGCGUCUCUCUCUCUCGUCAUUAUGACCCGUCCUGUCGACUGACAUUCUCUCUGCACGAAACGAUGCGGCGGUUACCCGUGGCCGCUAAGCUCACCACGUCCUAUCAACUGACGUGCCCACGUGUCACACCCCCGCAUCUUCCGGAGCCGUUUCGGGACCCUGGUACAAUGAAGCCUCGGCACCUCCCGAGCUCCAGAGCUCCCAAGGCUUGGGGGGCUUAUUGUGGGUGCUCACCUCGGCCGGUCCUCAAUUGUUGAGGUGAACCCCGUCUGUCCCUCACCCAAGCACGGUCAUGUCCCGCACACGACCCAUGACUUCGGCCAGAUCUUUGGCCGAACCAUUGGGAUGACCUCCGGACUCCCACCCCGGCUGCACGCUGAUGAUGUCAGCACCUCUUACAUCACCCAGAGCCAUUGCUUUAUUUGAAAAGUACCGCAUGCUUUUAAUGGCUACUGCGUAAGGCUCCCCGUCACCCUGCCCAGGCGGCUACAGUGUCAGAGUCAGGCCUCCUGACAAGGAACAAAGCCGUAAUGCCAGGAUGUGGGUCCCACCAGCAUGAGCCCCCGUCUUACCUUUCACUCUCACUCUAUAAAUACUCCUCAUGCACUCCUAACAAGUAAGCACACUGUUCAUUCUCAUAUACUACUAUUUCUCUCGUUCUCUUACUAACAUGAUCGUCGGAGUGAUCCCAGGGGAGAAACCCCGCCAUCCACUUCGGACAAGUGAAUUCACCUCACCUCAUUUCAAAGAGGACUUAUUUAGGUCGGACCAACAACCCACCAAAAAUCACCUCUUCACCUACGAAAAAUUUCAGUCAGUGUGUAUCAAUUUCAGAUUAGGGUUUCCAUUUAGGAAUGAUUCUGCCCUGUUUUUGGACCCAAACUGACCUGUAUAUUCGUCUAUGAUAAAGGCCGAAUUAGCUCUUGCUCAAAACAUGAAAGUUGUAGGAAAUUGAGCUAAAUAUCUACUUAUAAAAUUUCAAUUCAAUCAGAGCACUGUAUCUUAUGAAAUAACUAAAAUACCCUUGACUGCCCAAUGCCCUAUUUCACUGACAGUUUUCUGUUUUCUUUGAGAUUUCAAUUUUUGACCUUGAAAAUGCAAGAACUGGAUAUUGAUGUCUUCAUAGGAAAUGUAAGUCUAUAUCUUAGUUUCGAAACACCAUAAAAUGUACCCCAAUCCGAUAAGCGUAGCUUUAGUUGUAACCAAAAGGCUGAGAGAUGGCAAACUUGCUACUUAGCCAUUCGUCUUUAAAACUAAUUUUCAGCUUUGAUUUUGAUGGGUGCAUUGCUAGAAUUAACUUAUAUUUGGAUGACUUUGAGCCUAGUUGAGGAGCUAUUGUGUUAAGUUUACUUAUGUUUUUAAUUGGGCUGAGUUGAGGAAAAAAAUGAAGCCAUAAAUGGCUGGAAAAUAACAAAAUACAAAGGGCAUGCUAUCCAAAAUUUUAGGGCUACUUGAUUCCUUUGAGUUUGGGUUGACUUUGGUUGGAAAUGAAAGGCUUUGGGGAUGUUCAUGUUUUUAAGACCAACCGCUACCUUUUUACUCCAAAAUCACAUUGUUAUUGACUAGGCAUACGACUUGUAGUCGGGGCUCAUUUGUGCAUUCCGUUUCCUGGGUUUGUGGAUGGAGAAACCAUAAUUGUUUUACCUUGGUUGUUAUUAGGACGCGACGGUGAUCCAAGCCAUCCUUUGGGAGGAAACUUUUGAAGUUAUCCUUGCUUGAACUAGUGAGUGUACCACCCGCAUGACUUGUUGAUUAACUAUUUUACCUGUACCUGCAAUAUGCGACUUGAACGACUGUAACACCUGCUUAAUUCUGGACAAGACGAGAGUGUAUUUCAUCACACUUGUCUCUCUUGCUUAUUUGUCGAGUCACUGUAUAUGCUUGAACCUGUUACUUGUGCCUGUUAUAAGCUUGAACCUGUUACCUAUGCCUGUUAUGAUAUCGUUUGGAGGCUUGUAUCCAACGACCUUUCUAUGAAAUUUGAGCUCAGCCUCAUUGGUAGUUAAUUGAAUUGAGCCAGCAAGGGGCUUGGUCGAGGAAAAUUGACAAGCCAUGAGGGCCUGUUUCUUGGGAAUCUUUGGGUAUUAGAAACUCUGGAUUCCUGGUAUACUCGAGUAUUAUCAUUCCUGUUCAUGUUUGACGUUCGGAUCCGGCAAGGGGUAUGUUUGGUGAAUGAAAUUUGGCGUAAGAGGGGUCCACGGACAUAUUUGUUUCAUCAAACGUUGACAGAGGGUCAAUGAGUUUGGAUCAAAUACUGCAAUGGAAAUUUGGCUCUUGAGAGCCAUCUAUAUCCUUUCUAUUUGAGGUGUUUGUUCAUUUGUUUAUUUGGUAUGUAUCUGAUUGAUUAAAAGGAUGAUCCAUGAUUCUUGACUGCUUGUACUUCUGGUACCUCACAGAGCAUAAGCUCACCCCUGUUACUUUUGUUUUCCUUAUAAGAGCAAUAUUUUGGAAACCAUGAUUUUGAGGAAAAGAGUAGAGCUACUUAUAGUUAUAGUUUUAAUUAAGCUCCUCUGAAAUGGCAAAACCCUAAUUGUACUUCGAUCACUUGUGAAUAUUCCGAAUUGUAUUGCUAGUAAACUUUUGAACCUUUCAAUGUAUAUAUCUCUAAGUGUUUAACCAUGUAAAUUAAGUGUACUUGUUUGAGAUGGUACUUUUAUUUGGCUUUGGUGAACACUUCUUGUAUCCGUUGGGAAACCUGGUGAGUGCAAAAUUUGAACGAGGAAGAAAAACAAUUCUGAUGUGGCACCAGUUCCUUUCCAUUUUCGUUGGAGCAUUCAAUCGAAAUUCUACUGUAUUGUUUGAGUUAGCUAGUUCCAUUUCCAACCGUUCAUGUUCUCAAAGUUCUUUCUCACAUCUAUAGGGUUUACGUGUAUUUCAGUUUAGUAGUUCUAGUGAGAGUUGGGCAGGCAGUCUGCCAAACCCUUGGGUACGCCCUGGGGAGAGGUGGGGCUAUCACAGAUUCAAAUCACAAGUAGGCCAAAUAUUCGAUCCAAGUCAAAAAUUCAUUUUCCUGAAGAACAGGACAUUCAAGCAAGAUAGCCUACUUUGAGGAGUCACAGACAGCAGUACACAUGGACGAAAAAUAUGAAAUUUUUACAGAACAAAGGCCUAUGAGUCUAGUUUCAAAUGUUACUAAUGGCACCUCAAUUGGGUUUUUCUACACCAAGAUAUAACCAUUUUUCUGAGACUGGUCAGUGAAAUCCGAAAAUCUGAAAACUCAUUUUUCACUUGGAAAAACUCCUUUUUCUCUUUUAAAAUCACAAGACUUUUAUUCAAACCACCCAUACACUUAAGUAUGACAUUCAUACCAGCAAUUUUAACAUAAUUUAAGCAUCAAAUUUUGACAUUAAAUCAAGGAAAUAACUCAAAAGAAUUUCAGCAGCCCCUUCCCCUUCACCUUCAAGUUUCUUUCCAACUGUCAAGCCAACAACCAAGCUAUAAUCCACAAGAAUACAAUCAAACAAGCAAGAAUCCUCAAGUUCUCUACCUAAAAGUUCACCUCAAGGCCACUACCUAGAAUAUAAAGCAAGAAACAAGGGUUUUCCUCAAGUCCUCUAGCUUAGAGUUUUGGGUAGGAUUUUCAAAUCCAUGCAACAACCACUACCCAUUACUAAUCUUUGAAAAAUUAAAGAUCAAUGGGAGUAAAAUUUGUUACCUCUUGAAGGUUUCUCGAACCCUAAGUAGAGCCAAGAUUUUUCACCAACAAUCCACCAAAUCCAUCAUAAGAUUGCAACUUUCUUCUAGCUAGAGCAAUAUCCAAAGGUCUUGAGGGUUGAGUGUGGAUCUUUGACCAAGAUUAAGGCCAAAGGUUGAAUUUUUUCCUUCCUCCAUUUGAGCUCCAAAUUUCGGCCAAGUAGAGAGAGUGUGCGAGGGAGUUGAAGUUUUGAUUUGUGGUGAAAAAAUAAGAAGAAGGGUAGUUUUUUGUUAGGUGAGAGUGUCAACUUUGACUAGUAGGGUCAUAUUGACAUGUACUAACAAUUCUUUAUGAUUUGCUACACUUAAAUACUAAUCUUCCAAGGUAGUUCUUCUAGCACUACAAUUACCCAUUCUUGCUAGUCUAAAAUUAAUUUUCCAAAUCUCCAAUUAGUCGUAACGGUACGACUUUUUUGAAAAAUUUUGAUGCGUAAGCGAUAAAAGUAUAGUUUAAAUAAAAUUCACGCUAAAAUAAUAAAAUUAAAUAAUACCAAUGCAAAUAAUUUUAAAAUAGUCUAAAUUAAGAAUAAAAACAUGAGUCCUCACAUCCUCUCCCCCUUAAAAGAAUUUCGUCCACAAAAUUCAUACCUUGAUUAGGAAAUAGGUCUGGAUAUUUCUUUCAAAUUUAUUCUUCUACCUCCUAAGUUGCUUCCUCUUAUUCCGUGAUUUCUCCAUAGAACUUUUACCGAAAAAAUUUGCUUAUUCUUUAGUUCCUUCACCUUACGAUCUAGAAGCUUCACUGGUUUCUCCUCAUACGUUAGUGCCUCGUCAAUCUCAAUAUUUUCUAGUUGCAGUACAUGGGAGGGAUCUAAAUGAUACUUCUUGAAUAUAGAUACAUGAAAAAUAUUAUGGAUUCGAGACAAAUUCGGUGGUAGUUCUAACUUAUAGGUCACGUUUCCUACACGUUGGAAAAUCUUAUAAUGUACUACAAAUUUCGGUUGCAACUUGUUUCCUCUUCCUGCCAUCAAACUUGCUUUUAGAGGAGUAAUAUUAAGAAAAACUUGAUCUCCAACCGCAAACUCCAAAUCAUUCUUUCGAUUAUCUGCAUAACUCUUUUGGCGGGUUUGAGCUGAUUGAAUCUUUUGACGUAUCAAUUUCACCUUUUCGUACACCUCCUCAAUCCAUGGUACUGCAGUUGGGUCUAAGAUCUUUUUUCACCUAUUUUAUCCCAACAAAUCGGAAAUCUACACUUCCAGCCAUAAAGAGCCUCAUAAGGAGCCAUUUGAAUGGAUAAAUGGAAACUAUUAUUAUAAGCAAACUCCACCAAUAUUAAGUACUUACUCCAACUCUCUCCGAAAUCCAAAAUACAUUAUCUCUGUAGACACCAAAUUUUUAGUAUUUUUUUUGCUAGUUUUUAUUUACUUUGAGUCUUUUAUUUUUAUUUUUAAGUCAUUUUAGCAUAGAAUUUAUCGGAAAAGAAAAUCAUUUCACAAAAAUAUGCUUUAGUUAUUUUAGAUUCAAGUUCAUUGUUAUUUAAUUAAAAAAAAGGGAAAAUCUCCACAAAAAUAUGUUUUAGUUCUUCUAGAUUCAGUUUGUCAAUUUUUUUAUGUUUGUUUACCUAAUUAAAAAAAAAAAGGGUUGUUCCAUGCGCACGUGGCAAGCACGCGCCAGUUUCUUUCAUGCAAGAAUGCAAGCGGAAGGUCAGUAAAGAAGCAAAAAUCGCAGCAGCCAUUGUGGUCUAAUUUCGAUUCAUUUUUUUUUUCCUAUCGACUUUGUUUCUUCCCAUUUAAGUCCUCAGUACAAGGCCACAUCACUCCUUCAAGAUCUAUCAAGAGGAUUCUAGAAAAACAUGAGAAUCAAGGGCUCUAAAAAUGCAACAGAAAUCAGUUUUUCUUCUACCAUCCAAAUGAGGGUUUAAGGGGGGUCGUUUGAUAUAAAAAGAAAAAUGCAAGAGGGUUUGGAGGGAGGCUGAGAGUUAUGACGGCUGAAAGAAAAGGCUAGAGUUAGAGGAUGAGAGAACGGAGCUGAGAGUGAAGUGUGUGAUGGCUGGAGGGAAGGAGUGCGUGAGGGGAGAUGAUAGAGUGAACAGCGGCUGAAAAAAACUAAGAAAGCAAGAGAGAGAGCUGGGGGAUAAUCUGUCGGCUGAGGAAGGAAAAAGGGAAAACCAAGAGAGCAAAAGAAAGCUACGGGUCUUCGGAGGAAAACGAAAAAAAUUUCAGCGAGAGAAAAGAAAUCUGAGGGAGGAAGGAGAGAGCUUUGGGGGUUGCUCGGUUUCACGUAAGAGAGGAAACAAGGGCUGGAAAAGAGAACCUAAGCGAGGGAGAAGACGGCUACAAACAAACUAAAAAAGAAAUGAAAAGCUGCAAUUUUUUCGACCAAAGGCUGAUUAUAAGCCAUAUUUCAGAUCAAAUUUCUCUUUGAUCUUUGGUUAUUUUAAGCAAAUCUCAAGGUUCUGCACUAACUAGGAAGUAAGGGGAGAAGGUUUCGUUCAGAAAUUGUUGGCAGAAAACAUCGAAUGAACCUUUGAAUUUGCCCCCAAAGAUCGCUGCUUGACUUCGGUGGUGCAGUUUCGGAGCCGUAACGGGGCAGCUUCAGCCGUUCUUUCACGGCGUUUCCCGUCCAGAUUUUGAUCUGACAAGCUUCAUCAGGUACUCUUCUGAACUAAUCUUAUAGUUCCUCCCCUUGUCAGUUGUUGGUUUAUUCAUUUGCAGUUCUCUUUCGUUCCCUUUCCUGCCAUUGGUUUGUAUUUUAUGUUCUGUCUUGAUUUCCUAUUUGUUUGGUCUACUUCAAAGCUGAUGUUAUAAGAAUAGGAUAUGAGGCAGCUAGAUGGUUUCGUAUGUUUAAGAAUUAUUGGACAUUUUGUUGAAAGUUGAUAAAGGUCCAAACUUUGGGAUUAGAUCUUUGUUGGUCGAACAUUUGCUGUUGUGUAAGACUGGUUAAUAUGUCAAAGCUUCAGAAUAUGGUUAGAGUUGCAUGUUUUCUCCGGAUUUGGUGCUUAAAUCCAAAGGUUCUUAUGUUGUGAGUUGAAAAUAAUGCUUAGUAAUACGGACUUCUGUUUUGCUGUUUCAUUUCCCAUGAUAACCAGUGACUUCACGACCUUAUUUUGCUAGUUAAUCUGAAUUUGGAAGAGGUAGUUGAAUUAUUGAAAGGGAGUUCGUUUGUUUGGUCUAAGCUAUAGAUGGUUUUAGUGCAAAAGCCACGCGAGUUGAAGCUGCAAGAAUAUGCAGCAAAACAAACGCUUUUGCAUUCUCUUUGCUGUUUUCUUCUCUGCAACUGCUCGUUAAGUUUCGGCCAUCCCAUUUGUUCACUUAAUCUUAUGUUGAAGGGAAGCAAUGGAAAGUUUGGUGCUGAGUUUGCAUAUUUGGGUCCAAAAAACACUUGAAUUAGGUCCGGACAAUUGUUGAAAAAUGAACUCCUGAGUUGCUAAUGAAAGUUGUAGCAGAUUUUGAAGUUUAUUGUUCUUCCUCUUGUGUUUUAUCAUGUUCAUGAUCUAAGUUUUGUAGCCUAAGGUCCAAGCUAUGUUAAAAUGUCUUGUUGGCGACUUGUAAACCAAAAAGCCACUAGCUUUUACAUUUUUCUCUCACCAUGAAGCUGAAACUGAUGUUAUCCGUUGGUUCCUCCUUUGGUGCUAUUCGUGGUUUUAAAACUUGGGUUUUAUGGCUUUCGUUUACCCGAAAACUUGGAAAGGGUCUGAUGUUUGAUGGUUUGAGUGAGGGAGCUAAAAAUUUUCUUUGGGUCAUGAUGAUACCACCAUUGGUUUCAUCAGAAGCCAACUGCAUUUCCGUGUGUCCUCAUGUUUUUCGUUGCUUGGGUUUUUCAAUGGCUGUUUCAUGUUCGGAUUUUCAUUGCUUGUUGAUGAGCUGAUUACUAAUGGAUCUUAGUUGAUGAGCUUGUUGUUUUUGGUUUGAGGAUUGAUAUAAAAAAAUUUGGCUGCCUAAGGAUUGUUGAAUGCUCAAAGCAACGGAAGUUGCAGAAACCAGAAUGCAUGGCGGUCUUUGCAUGAAAAGUUAAAAAAAUUGCACUUUACUCCAUUUAGUUUCCAUCUAUGUUACAAAGGCCCAAUUAUGUUCUAAUUUCUUGCAAUUAGGUCCUACCUCAUUUGCAUUUGAGUCCCACAACUUGAUUUUUCAGGGCUUUUGUUUUCAGUUGGGCACUAAUCACCUUUUUGUUGAUUGGGCAUUUAUCCUUGGGAUUUUAAUGGCUUGAUUGAUGUAAUUAAUGAUUUAUUUGAUUCUAAUGGCAUUUCCCUUAAGCAAUUUUGACAUUUGAGACUAUUUGAGUUCAAUUAGUGUCAUGAUUUACAUUUACGUCUUUAUUUACCAUUAAAUUGGUACCUUGAUCUGUACUUUUAUUUUGGAGGGUAAAUAAAUGAUUUCACUCCAUUAGGGCUCCAUCUCCAGGAAGGUACACUCUAUCCCUAAUUUCUUACUUUAGGUGACCCUACGUGCCCUAUGUGAUUUUACGUGUUUAAUUUGCAUGCCUCUUAAAUGUUUUUAUUAUUAUUUAUUUCAUUUAUUUUCUUCGUUGGCUUUAGUUUGUAUAUUUAUUUUUAGUUCAAUUUUGAUCAUUUGAAAGGCACUUGAAUGCCGAGUUGUAAUAGUUAGGGGUUUAUUUAUUUAUUUAUUUUUAUUCUUUCCCCCUUUUAGAUUGUAGUAGGGCCUCCCAAGUGUAAGAGUUAGGGCUUUAUUCGCAUUAUUUGUUUUGAGUGUGCUUGUGCAUGCCUAUGUGCUAUGUGUUUAAUUGUUUUCCCUAGGCUUUUGCAUCUAGAUAAGCAUGCUUAUGUGCUACGUGCUACGUGAAACUAUGUGUUUUGCAUGCCUAUUUGCUCUAGCAUUAUAUCUGAUCAUAUGGAUGAAUGCACGUCACCGUGGCUAGUCCAAUGCUAGUCAUGGUCUUCCCCUCGAGCCGUCAUAAGUCCAAUGCUUGUGAGAGAGCGUUAGUUAAAGGCUAGUCCAAUGCUAGACCCUUAGAAACCAUCCGCACGUUAGAUCAUGAUUGUGUGAUAAAAUCACUUCAUCUCACGCAUAUUUUCACUUUUUAGGAUUUUUUAUCAUUUUCUGCAUGACAUCCCUUCUUAUAUGUAUAUCUCUUCCCCCAUAUUUUCCCUUUUGUAAUAUAUAUGUAUAUAUUACUUACCCCUUUUGUAUGAAACAUGACAUUAGACUUACAUUUCAUCUAAGCAUUAGACCUGGGUUAGUACAUUUGCUUGGUUAGACUAGGAAAAACCCCUUGGAUAUGAGAUAUGGACGAGUUUGGCUUUUCUAACCUUAGCAUGCUCGUAUUCCCUCUAUUAAAGGGAACAUUGAAAGUCACGAGUAUAAGUCCCCCGCACCCAUUAUGAUGCAUUCCUUUAGGUCAUACACAUUUGUAUAUUAUUUUCUUUACUUUUUCUUUCUUUCGAGUCUCAUGACUUGCAUUAUUCGUGACUUCUUCGAAGAGUCUUUAUUGGACGUCACAAUUAAUGUGAUUGGUACCAAAUAAGUUUUGAAGAUACAUUUCGACUCCCCGAUACCCUCUUAGGUCUAGGGUUUGCAUUCAUAUAGUACAUCCAAAUGUGAUAAAUUUUAAGGUUAAAAUAAGAAAAUCUUUGACUAAAUCACGCAACUAGUCUUGGUUAGGUCGAAAAGGGUGCCUUGGAUUCUUAUUCUUGCCUUCCCUUUCUUCAAAUGUGACUCCCGAAUCUUUUUCUCUGAUUUUUGUAGAUUUGGAGUUGUUUAAAAAGGGUUUUCUACUUUUUUCUUUAAAAAUUUAUUUUAGGUGACUUGGUACACCUUAACUCUAUACCAAGUGGCGACUCCAUUUUCCAUUCAAAAAACCCUUUUUAAACUAUAUUUUGGAUCAAAUCAUCGCAUUUUCAAAUCCCAUUUAGAUCCAUGUUUUUUCAUUUUCUUUUUAAAUCAAAAAUUCAUUUCCCAAUCACAAAUUAAAUCAAAAGCCAUUUUUUCUAAACUCGUCUUUUAUUUUUCUCAUUUAAAAAAAAUGGGGCGCGACAAUCUCAACAUGUCCUCGAAAGUCUGAAUUGUCCUUUCUGACUGUCCAUCAAUCUGUGGGUGGUAGGUAGUGCUAAAACUCAAUUUCGUUCCUAGCAUUUCUUGUAUCUUCUGCCAGAAUCGAGAAACAAACCGAGAGUCUCGAUCGGACACAAUACUUAUUGGUAUCCCAUGUAACCUUAUAAUUUUAUCCAAAUAUAGUUUAACUAAUUUCUCCAAUGAGUACUUCAUACUAAUCGGCAAAAAAUGAGCAGACUUGGUCAAUCUAUCUACUAUCACCCAAAUGAUGUUGUGACCUCUUUGUGUCCUUGAUAAUUUAGAUACAAAAUUUAUGGUGAUAUUCUUCUAUUUUCACUCGGGUAUCUCCAAAGGUUGCAAUAGGUCAGAUAGUUUCUGAUGCUCGACUUUAACCUGCUAGCAAAUCAAAUAUGUCUAGACAAAUCAAGUAAAUUCCUUCUUUAUAUUCUCCUACCAAUACAAGCUUUUCAAGUUUUGGUACAUUUUAUUUCCUCCAAGAUGUACCGUAUACCUAAAACGAUGAGUUUUUUCUAAAAUUUUUCUUUUUAACCCUUUAUCUUUUGGCACUACUAUGCGAUUUCAAAACCUUAGUACACUAUAUACUUCUAAAUUAAAAUCCGACUUUUCCCUCUUUUUAAUUUUCUCCAACCACUUUCGUACCUCCGAGUCCUUCUCUUGUGCCUCCUUGAUACGAUGUAGCAAAGCGGAUUUCACGACAAUGUUCUUAAGGAUUACCUUUCCUGGUUCAAGAUGAGGGUUCCAAAUACUAAUCUCCUCUAACAAGUGCAAUUCUUUAAUCAUCAAUCCAGUCACUUGCACUUUACAACUCAAAGUAUUGGUUACCACAUUAGCUUUCCCAGGGUGAUAAUUGAUCAUACAAUCAUAAUUCUCUAAAAACUCCACUCAUCUAUGUUGUCUCAAGUUCAAGUCUUUUUUGGAAAAUAAGUACUUAAUGCUCUUGUGAUCUGUAAAAACCUCAAACGUCACCCCAUAUAGGUAAUGUCUCCACUUCUUCAAUGCAAAUACUACUACCGCUAACUUCAGAUCAUGAGUUGGGUAAUUUCUCUCAUGAGGUUUAACUUUUUAGAAGCAUAUGCAAUCACCUUAUCAUUCUGCAUCAAUACACACCUCAACCCUUCUUUUGAAGCAUCUGUAUAGACCAUAAACUAUUUUUUCCAUUAGGUAAAACUAAGACAGGUGUGCCAUUAUCAAACUUUUUUUAACUCCUGAAAACUUCUUUCACACUUAGAGCUCCAUAUAAAUUUCCUACUUUUCUUAGUCAACUCAAUCAGGAGUCCUGCAAUCUUAGAAAAAUUUUUGAUAAAUCUCCGAUAAUACCCCGCUAAUCCUAAGAAAUUUGGAAUUUCAGUUGGAUUUUCCGGUUGCUUCUACUUAGAAAUUGCUUCAACUUUGGUCGGAUCCACCUUAAUUUCUUGAAAAUUAUAUGACCUAAAAAAGUUACUUUUUCAACCAGAAUUCACAUUUACUGAACUUAACAUACAGUUGAUAUUCUCUCAAGGUUUGCAAGACAAUCCUCAAAUGUUUCUCAUGAUCCUCCAAAGUUUUAGAGUAUACCAAUAUAUCGUCAAUAAACACUACCACAAAUUGAUCUAAAUAGGGUUUAAAGAUUUGAUGUAUUAAGUCCAUUAAAGCUGCAGGAACAUUAGUUAACCCAAAUGGAAUCACUGCAAGUUCAAAGUGCCCGUACCUCGAAUAAAAGGCAGUGUUAGGUAUAUCUUUUUUUAAAAUUCUCAAUUGAUAAUAACCCUGCCUGAAAUUCAACUUUGAGAAUACUACCGCCCUUUGCAAUUGGUCGAACAAUUCAUCAAUGUGGGGUAAAUGGUACUUGUUUUUAAUGGUGACAUCAUUCAAGUCUCGGUAGUUUAUACACAAUCUUAAACUCCCAUCUUUCUUUUUAACAAACAAUACUGGAGCUUUCCAUGGAGAAUCACUUUCUCUUAUAAAUUCUCGUUCUAGUAAAUCUUGUAAUUGCAACUUCAGUUCUUUCAAUUCAGCCGGAGCCAUUCUAUAAAGUGUCUUAGAGAUAGGUGCUACUCAUGGAGUCAUAUCAAUUUUAAAUGCUAUCUCUCUUUCCAGUGGUAAAGACUCUAGUUCCUCAGGAAAAAUAUUUGGACAAUCCCUUACCACUGGCACAUCCUUCAACCUCACCUUGUCACUAGAAGUAUUGAUAAGAAAAGUCAAAUAUCCUUGAGUUCUCUUACUCAACAUUUUUCUAACUCGAAUUCUUGAAAUAAGAGCAGAUGAGGCUAAUCUACCCCUUACAUCCAAUUUUAGGGUUGCCUCUCCUGGAAUACAUAGUUCUACUGUUUUCGUCUUACACUUCAACUGAGCAUGGUAGCGAGCUAACCAAUCCAUACCUAGGAUGAUAUCAUACCUCUUAAUAGCUAAGCUAAUCAAAUCGGCCAAUAAUUUUUGCUCUCCAAUUUACAAUAAAUAUUCAUUCUUAGUCCUAAGAAAAGAUCCGAACCUAAGCUCUACCUGAUUUUCAAUUCUCAUGCGGGUUCAAAAUGUAUAUACAUAUAUAUAUAUAGAUAUUUGUGGAAAAGGGACAACAGGACAGGUAUGUGGAUAUAUAUAAUAAUGGUCAAGCAAACUGAAAGCAUUUUUUGUGACAGCCCCACCUCCCCCUAAGGCGACCAAAGGGUUCGGCGGAUCGCCUGCCCAACUCUCGCCGGGACUCAGUCGUUCACUUACACAAAUCGGAAAUAAAACCACAAGAAAGAGCAAAAUGAGGAUCCAAAACUUAAAACGAAACUUAUAUACAUUGCUAUCUCAGAAAGAAGUACAAUCGUCGAGAAUACAAAAGUUCUCAAGUCACCAUGCAACGAGCCCGUGCCAAGCACUAGGGCGAGAACCAAAACAAAACCAAAACUAGACCCAGCCAGUCGAUACAGAGUUCUCGCCCCCGCUCGCCUUCCCCUGUUAAGGAAAACAAAACUAAAGGGAUGACCUGGAAAGCUCAGUGAGGUUCCGAUCACAUAGGCAAACAAGAAGUUCAAUGCAUUCAUUACACGUAGCCAAUAAUUCAAGAUACAAAGAUAAGAUAAAGCAAUAAACACAUUCAUUAAAAGGAUACGGGCUCACAUGGAGCUAUUUGUUCGUUCGUUCGUUCAUUCAUUCUCGUUUCAUUCCCUUAUACCUUCAAUCAUUUGAAAAUGUAUUUUGUAUAAGUAAAACCCCUCGUUCAUUCAUUCGUUCAUUCAUUCAUUCACCCUAUCCCGGACAUUGUCCAGGCUCCACCAACCUACAAGGUAAUACUCGAGUAUACCAAAACGUUCACCCAAGUCUCUAAUCGCCCGACCGAGUCCGCUUCUGGCUCGAGAUGACCGGUAACAAGGGGCAGUGGCCAGUUCAGCCAAAAGGCUUACAUUCAUGCACAAAUAACAUUUCAAUCGUUCAAUCAUUGAAAACUUCACAAUCAUUUAGGCCAAGUGCGAUAAAGUACACACUUGCCUAGAAAACUCAUUUUAACAAUCAUUGAAAGCAUUUAACAUGUUAUCAAUCAUUCAUACCAGCCAUGUAAUCAUGUAACAUAACAAACAAGGAACACUCACCUAUAUACGCAAAAUAACGUCCACUUCUCAAUCACCAAUGAAACCUAAAAUUAAACAAAGAACACAUUACAAUCCAUCUAGCAUGCUUUAGAUGCAAUCAAGAAUUACCCGACUACUCGUGAGUAAACGUAUAAAAAUGACUUUUAAAGUGUAAAGAGGGUAUUUGGAUCCGUGGACGGGAAUAACUAGGGUUCAUAAACCAACCGCGAAACCAAACUCAAAAGGUUAUGAAAUUUCCGACAGAAAACACUUUAACCAUCGACAAAUCGAAAUCCAAUAAGGUAAGCUAAGAAGUAUUGUUUCCGGAAUCGUUUAUGUGGUUCAAAAUCAAUAGACUAUAUGCCUUGAUGAAAAUCAUGAAAAGGUGGCAAAACUACCUCACUUUCACCCUUAAAACUUCACUUAAAAGUUAUUCACUUGUGGCCGAGAGAACCCGAGGUCAACCUCUAUAUUUUGGUAAACAGUAAGUAAACAUUUGGAGUUUCAAACCAAAGAGGUAUUAGGUUUUAGAAUGGUAAAAUGAUCACUUUAGUUGUCAAGCGGAAAUAUACAGGUUCAAAUAGAAAUUUAGUCAUUGAGCGAAAAUUUGGGCAGCACGCCCUUUGUAUUUACCUAUUUUUCUAGCCAUUUAUGGCUUCAUUAUCUUACUCAAUCUAACCCAAAGUUAUCCAUAUCUCAAAGUCAGUUCAAUAGCCAUUCCAUAGGCUUAAAACAAUACAAGAACAAAGAUUAAGCUAAUAUCAAGUGCGGAAACAAAGCUUAUAGAAGACAGAUUUGACGGGUUUUUACGGAACAGGUACAUCCGAGGCUACGCUUAUCGGAUUGAGGUACAACUUAUACCAAUUCGAAGCUAAGACGAAGGCCUACAAUUUUUAUGAAGAGCACUUAGUCUAAUUUUCAGUGUAACCUAAUCAAAUUCCCAAUUCAUAUAACCUGGUUCCAACUAUUCGGCUAAUCAACCGUACUGCAUUCAAAUGACCAUAUCUCAGUCUACCAAGGUCCGUUUAAGAUGUUCUUGGUGGCGUUGAAAAGCUAAGACAGGGUAAUAAAACUUUAAUGUUUUGGUAAAUGACUAAAUCAGCACGGAUCAUAGUGAAUAAACACAAUCAAUUGGAUGAACUGUCCAAAACGAAUCACUGGAAAUAUCCUAGGGCAGUGAGGGUAUUUUGGUCUUUUUAUAGGCUACAAUGCUCUGAUUGAGCUGAAAUUUUGUAGGCAACUAUAAAAUAUCAUUAUCUACAACUUUCAUGUUUUGUGCCAAGUCUAAUUCAGCCUUUAACAUGGAGUACUAAAACCGGACAAAACAGGGUAACUUGGUUUCCAAAUUCUGAAAUUUGCACCUUUACUCUAUAAAUUCAUAUCUAACAAGUGCUCUAUCAUCAAACCCACCAAUUACUAGCUCAAUAACAUCAAUUAAGAGGUAGAUAACCAUAAUCAAGGCUGAAAAUAUAAACCCUAGUUAAACAUCCCAACAUACCAUUUAACCCAUGAAAUUUUCCCCAUAAAUCCAUCAAAACUAUAACUUUAAGCUUCUAGUUCACACAUAUAAGAAGUAGAGGGAAGUUUCUUACUAAAUUCACCUUAAUCCCUAUAUCAAGAAGCUGCCAAGACCUUCCUCUUCCCAAAUCACUCCACCAAAACCCUUAAGCUUCCUUGGAGAUCAACUUUUGUGGAGGAAUUUGCGAGAUUAUCGGUUGAAACUCAAGAUUGAGGCUUGAAAUUGAGGUGCAAGGUGAAGUUUUUUCAUCUCUUGUUUUUCCUCUCAAUAAUUUCGACCAAGACUAAGAAAAGGAGAAAAAAUGAGGAAAUUUUGAUCAAAUUUCUGUUUUAUGAAGGUUAAGACAAGUUGGUCAAAGUCCAACUUCCAUAGAUGCCUUGACACUUGUUUUCUUUCUAGCAUUUUCUCUCAUUUCUCUUGGUCAAAUAUUGUGGCUGAUGUAUGAGAUAUUUUGAGGGUCAAUUAUCUAAAAUAAAAUGAGAAGAUUAAGGUAAUAAAGUAUGGGUUAAAUGGUGUGUUUACCCGAUAACAAACGGUACCCGUCGGUUCGGGCCGAUUUUCCUAAAAUCACCCGUACUAGGGUUUUUCUUCCUAUUCACUAACUUUUUAUUAUUGCAUCUAAUCACAUAUUAUUUCUCACCCAAAAGUCACUCUUAAACACCAAAUUUGAUCCUUGCUCUGUACCGAAAAAUCAUCCUGCGGAAAAUCGCGAAAAUCCUAAUUUUCUAAGAUCAUUGGCACUUUUCUAGGGUGUUUAAGUAGCAAUAUGGUAUAGAAUAAUAAUUUCCAAUUAAAAGGGCAUUUUUAAGAAAAGUGAGGGUUUUACAAUUCCACACAUUGAAUUUAGGGUUUCGGUUGAAAUAUGAGAAAUUUGAGAAAACGGUCAAUCACAAUUGAAACUAGGGUUUCGAUUAAACUUUUAGGGUUUCUAAUCUUUUAAAAUAAAACAAGGUUUUAAAUCAACCUAAAGAAAUAACUUUAGUUUCUUCUUUAGAACAAAAUAAUGUUUUUAAAUAAAAAUAAACUAAAGAAACUGUAAUAUCCUCUUUGAAACUAAUCAAAGGAUGAUCCUAAAAGUUGGGGUAUCACAUUUUUAUUCAAUUAAAAUAAAUAGGUAAUGAGUUCAAGUCACCUCACGAAUAACCAACGCAAUAUUUUGGGAGUUCAAACGUUCAUAAAAGGUUAAAAUAUGUCCACAUGUCCACACUGGUAGGUCUAAUCUUCUCGUUCAUUUCCAACUCAUAUCCAGCACCAGGAUCCCAUUGAAUUACAUAAGACCAUCAUUCAAUCUUUCCUUCCGUGAUCUCUCAUCUUUUUCAGGAGUACAGGGUUACCUAAACCCACACCCACGACCUUUUCCUCGUCCUCGCCGAUCCAUACUUAAUAUAAGUCUAUAGGCGUAAGAAAAGGAAUAAUUAGGCAUAAAAGAACUUAAUGCGUAUACAAAUUGUAAAAAUAUUUAGAAUUAAAGUAUGAUUCUUUACAUAUACCAAAAGUCAUAGUACGAGUCGGGAGAUCACAAAACACGCCAAAUAUGUCAAAUGCAUGACAUAGGCAAUUGAGUGCCACAAAAUAUAAGAGUACAUGCAGGCAAAAUACAGAAGGCCUCACGGCGUGCACCACCCCUACUAUCCUAGGCAGGAUUAAAAGAAGGAGAACCAUAAACCUAGUUAGGGAUAGAACUAGAAGAAUCCACGAUACCAAGCCACAUUAUUCGAAUAAUUAUAAAUUUCAAAUUCCAUCCAAAAGCCUAAACUACUUUCUAAAUUUUUAGUCUAAAACUUCCAAUGAAUACAAGUUUUUCUCAUUAAAUUCAAGGUGAAAGUUCCUAUACAGGGUAGGGUAAUAAGUCAAACCAAAAGGAAUGCAAAAAAUAUCUAAUUUUCAAACUUAAAGUAGAGUUAAAAAUUGUUCAAAUCACUACAAGAAAAUUUCUCUAUUAUGGCAUACUUGUUAGGGCACUAUUUAGUAAAUGCCUCAAAUAAACACUUAUUAAGGAAUUAGGUAGUUUUUGCCAUAUUAGCACUUAUUAAUUAAAUAAAAAAAGACAAUGUAUAAGAGACAAAUCUUAUAAAAAAAUUGAAAAUAAAAGAAUAUAAAGAAUAUAUUUAUAGAGGCAUUUUAGAGAUGUGCCUCAACAACUAUUAGAAAGAAAUACAAUCCCAAAUUGGCCCAUCAAAAGAAGCGGCAAAUUGUUUCACGAAAAAAUAGCAAAAAUGCCCCAUAUUGGUGCCUAAGAGUAUCGGCAAAAUUGUCCCAAAUUCCAAAUACCAAGUGCCCAUCUUUCUCUCUCACUCUCCCUCUUGGUCCUCAACCAAUCUACCAUCUCCAACACUUCCAUUUUUCAUUGACCCAUUUCUUUCCCUCACUCUCUCUCUCUUGGUCCUCUACCCUCAAAUUUUCCCAAAAAUCAUGGCCAGCUCUCACGAGUUCUCUAGAAAGAAAAGUGCAGCAGAGAGAAACAAAAAGCACUUUGGUGGGUCUGGAAUUGGGCGAGCAGCUGAAUGCAUUUUCAUCUUCGACUACCCACCAAGACGCAUGAACAACGUUUUCCAUGAUAUAUAGUUGAAUGGUAGGUAAGAUUAAUCCCGAGGUUUCGGCCUUAAGAUAGUCGAAUCUUGCUUUUUCGAUCUUAUUUCUGUCAAUAAAGAUGAAGGAUUUCAUGACUUUCUUUUUUUCCAACUAGAAAAAAAAAAUUUCUUUUUUUUUUCCAACUAGGCAUGAGGGAGCUCCGAGAAAUGAGGCGAGCAGGGAGAUGGGAUUUUCUUCAAGGGUGGUUGCCCCUCUCUGCUUCUUAGCCUUUGAUUUCUUUCUCCAUCACAUUACAGCAAAACCGACAUCCUUUCAUCAUUUUAGACAAGGGUUAAUUACACUUAGCGCCCCUUUUUUUCGACUGAGUCGAACCAAACGAGCCCUUGUACUCCGAUUCCCUAGAAAACUUCCCAUGGGCUUUACUUUGCGAGUUUAGGAAAGAAAAGAAAAGAUGACAUCAAAAAGGCUGUGAUGAUUAUUUUUGAUUCUCAGAAUCGGAGCAAGUUUUUCUUUUGCAGGGCAAUUUGAGGUGAACAGACCCGUAUCUUAGCAGGGCAACCCUGAUGGCCUGAAAAUGGGGGAAUUCUUUCCCAUCUCCCUUUUGCAUGCAACUAGGUUUUUGCAACCAUGGCGGUGGUUCUCUCCCUCUUUUGCUCUGAUGAAAGAUCUGAGCCAUUUUCUUUGAGGCCAAAUGAGAUUAUCAGAGAGAUUGGGAUUUUAUUGAAUUAAGGGUGGUUGUCUCUCUCUGUUUUUUGUCUAUGAUUUCUUAGUUGCAUAAGUAAACAGCCCUUUGUGUUUUUUCUUCAAGCGAGCGCUUUCAUGUAAAAGUUCCGAGUCAGUGUACUUUUGAUGUUGAUGAUGAUGAUGAAUUCAUAAAAAAAAACUACGCAUGAAAUUAUUUGUUGACAGGUUGAUCAAGAUCUAAGAAUGUAAAUAUAGAGAAAGAUUUGUUUUUCUUUACCCCAAUAAUUAGACUAACUUAUAUAGCGUUCUUCUUGAUUUGGGUGCUUUUUAAGUCUUUCUAAUGAGCAAUGACCACUUUACAGUAAUUUUGUAGACAAGUGUAGCCUAGAAAACGCUUUGAUCUAGACAAGUAAUUUCUUCAUUUAUGGGUGCUUUAGGAUUUAAUAUAUUAAGAAGUAAACUGCAAAUUGUCUUUGAUUGUAGUUCAUGUGAAUCUUGAUGUUAUACUUUAAGGAUCUGGUAGAAGUGGUAUUAUAGUUACAGUUCAAAAGGUUGUGGUAGUGGUAAUUUGUUGGUCAAAGUGAUGCUGUUUGAUUGUGAGAUAUUUUGGUGCAGAUGCAGCUUAGUAAGCAUGUAUUUUCAUGCUGGGAUGCAGAUGACUUGACUAAUUGUGAAGUUUUGAUUCAAAAUUGAUGUUGGAGUUCUAGGUAUGUCUAUGAAUGGACUUGGCUGAGUAUUGGACCAUGUUCCUUGUACCAGAGGUGUUUGAGGGGCCAUUUAAUAAUAUUAACUAUGUUGUGGAUUUGUUUCACUCAAGGAAUGGCCUCCAAAAUCAUGUGCACCAUUUUUCCUACUAUAUUUUUGCCUGUAAGAUAGAUUCUUGUAUGUCAGUUUGUCUUUUGGCUUAAACUUCAGUGCAGUAGUUGGAAUUUAGUUGAUUAUUAUGAUCUUGUACUUACCCUUGUACAUAAUUUACUUAUUCUUUUUUGUUCUUUUUAUUUAUUUUAUUGUUUGGCUUGCAGUGACUCUGAAAAUUUGCUGGAUCCUCAAUUGCCUUUCAUCCCUCCUGUGGAGCUUUUGGUGAAGGCUUCGGUUGUAAUUGGAUCUUCCAUUUUGGCUGCUUCCAAAUGUAUUUCUGUCAAACUACUCUGCUGCUUACAUCAUCCAUUCCUUAUUGGCACAUCGAAAAAAAAUAUAGUCAGGAAGGUAAUUGUUCAACCUCUCCUUUUGGAACUUAUUAAUGUAUAAGAUAAGAUAUAGAAAACCUGCUAAACUAUUUGUUCUCUAGCUAUUACAGACUUGCUGACUCAAUUGGUGCUCCUAUAGCUUGACCAACAAAACUAGUAUGUUUUUCCUUUUCUAGCUUUCAAAUUAUGUUAACUGAUAAUAUCUCAUAUGUUUGUCUCAUUGGAUAAUUAUGAUGGAUUUUAAUACAUAAUAUACUUAUGCAAUAGGUAAAAUUUGCAAAGAUUGAUGUGCUGAAAUUCAAAAGUGGACAAGGUGUUGCAGCAUAUGAAUACUUAUCCAUUUAUAUGGAAGUGCUCUAACUGUAAAAGGACAAAGUGUUGUUGCAUAUAUUACAAGAAGUUGGUCUACCAGCGAUUUAGUUGAUUUUAAUUUAUCUAGUGCUAUUUAGGUGAAAUCGUGGCAAACAAUCAGUAGGAUAUUCUAGCUGUUUCAUGAAUGUUGCCUCAAAUAUUAUGUUUUUUUUUUUUUUGCAAGGAUGAAAGUUUAAUUAGUUGGUUGAAAAACUACUAGAAGUUAUGAGUACUUUAAUUGUAAUCAUUGGUUAUGGUGAUAAUUUGAAAGUGAUUGUUCAAUCAAAUAUUGUUGGUUUUGGUCAUUGAAUGUGAGAUGUCCAAUAUGAAUGUAUGAUUAUAUUGAUACAAUAGGAAUGUCAUAUUCACCGUAAUACCUGUGGCUGGGUAUAAAAAAGAAAAAAAAAAUUUAGUCUAUUGAGGCACUUGUAAGUGUUGCGAUAACGGUUUUUCGUAGUAGAAAUUUUCUUGUUACACAAUAGGUUUUUGAGGCAUUUUAAAACAUCUUUAAAGGUUAAUAUAGAGGCAUUUGCCAGUAUCUACAUUAAGAUAUACACUGACAUACUUGUAUGCCUCAAUAACAACCAUUUUUUGACAUUUACUACUAUCUCAAGAACGGACUGUUAAGGCAUUUAUAAGUGUCAACUUAAAGUUAAGAUAGCAUUGUUUUGUGCCUCUAAAAAGUUGAGUUCUUGAAAGUUGAAUCCCAAUUAAGGCAUUUUUAGGUGUUAGCAUUAUAACCUUGUUUUGGCACUUCUGGAUGUCUGAAUUGUUUUCUAUGUUGUGGCACUUAAUUGUGCCUUCAAAAGCUUUUGUGACAUAGGUUUUACAUGGCACACUAGGUAUGUGCCUCAAUAUAUUAAGUGCCUCAACAAAGUGUGACUUGUGACAUUUUCAUGCGCCUUUAUAAGUUGUUUUUCUUGUAGUGAAUGGUUCAACUUUUCUACCGAAAUUUUGGCAAGCAAAAUAGUGGAGGAAGCAAGGUUUCCAACCCUUAAACUCAUCAGAUGGCUAUUUAACAUUCAUAAUCUUGACUCACCUCUAACAUAACUUGAAGAUUAAAGUCUUAUAGUGUUUUGUGAGUAAAAUGGUGCUACAACAUCAAGAAACUUUUGAAAUCAAGGCUGCUUUAAGCCCUCAAUUCAAGAACAAUUUAAAGACAUGGAAUUACCCUUAAAAUAGAGUCUACAAGACAUUAAAUCAUAGACGUAUAAGGAUUUAACUCCAAAAAAAACACUAGCAUUCAACAUCAUUCUAAUUAAACACAAAUACUUCAAUAUUACUCGUUAAAACACCAAGCACCAAGGUCACAUUGCAUUUAAUACAUAAUCAAAUCCCACAGUCCCGCAUCCUAAACUUUUAAGCCUAGGAUACACUACAAAAAUCUGAAACCUAAACUCUGAUACCACACGUGACGACCUCACUUCUCCUUAGGGCGAACACUAAGGUUUUGGCGGGCCGCCUGCUUAGCUCUUGCCAGGGUUCAAUACUAGCCAAAUCUAAACUUAAAGAUAAUCAACCAAUAAUAAAAUUGAUAAAGAGAAAAGUCGCAUCUUUAUAUAAUCAUUCAAAUCUUACAUCACAAAGAUUCCAAAAGGUACAUAAAAUUUUUCAAAAUACAACCAUCCAAAGUUGACUAAACCAUUUACAUCCAAAUUCUAAUUAAAAGGUAAUCAAGUCAGUUUCUUCAAAAAUCUUUCCAUUCCGAGCCUCUGUUAAAGAAAAAAAACCACGGGAGGGAGCUAGCGCUCAGCGAGGCCAAGAAAAGCAUGCAAACACAUAAGUUCAAUUAACAAUAACACUUGUACAAGAAAUAUAGUUAGAAAGUCCAUGAAAUUCACAAAUAACAGUAAAGCACAAUCAAUAAGGAUACGGGACCUCUCAAGAGCUAAAUUCCUAUUGCUUUGCCAAGGCUUGAUCCAGUACCUCCAUGUGAUAACACUCCGUCAACCGGGUAGGUAGCAAGUCCGUAGAAACCCUGGUUACUUCCUCCAUCCAUCAUUUCACCCUCUCGGAUCCGUAAUCAAACACUCACUAGAAAGGCAAUACUACUCGAGUAUGCCAACCAAGAGUUCAAAAGGUCAAACUUAUAAUUUUCUUAUGGUUCACCAAGCUUCUCGAUCAAGCCCAUGCCGGCUCGAGUCGCAAGGUUAGCCAAUGAGUUUUGGGCAUCCCAGGUGUACAAGUAUAAUUUGCCUAGUUCACGCGAUUCAAUUGUCAAGUCACGUUUACACAAGUCAAUUGUCUAGUCAUGUAAAAAAGAACGAAUGCGAUAAAGUACACACUCGUCUCGACAAAUUCAAAUCACUUAAUUAACAAGAAACAAUUCAAAUAUUUAGCAACAAUUCAUGCACUUGACACUCACCAAUUCAAAAGAAAGUGAGUAAAUAAAGCCCUUUAGUUGUCCGCACCAGAAUUCCUUUCGAAACCCUCUUGAGCACCUGAAGAAAUAGCGACCAACUAUCACUCAUAGAUACUCUAGACCGCUUAACAUUCAAGGAAGAAAAUGCACUGGCUUAAAACUUAACAACGCCUUAAAAACAGUUUUAAUUCAUCGAAAAUCGAGAUUCAAAAAUGAGGAUUUAAAAUCACAAGGGAAACUUGUAUCAUCCAUUAAAUCAAGUUUAAAAUGGACUAUCAAUUUCAAAAGGAAGUUGGGAGUUCUUAAAAUCAUAUCUCGGGUUUACGCAACAAUUUUUCCCAGAUGGGAAAACGGACUAUCAGCUUUACGCAACAAUACUUGGAAAAAUCAUAUCUAGGGUUUACGCAACAAUUUUUCCCAGAUGGGAAAACUGACUAUCAGCUUUACGCAAUAAUACUUGGAAAAUCAUAUCUCGGGUUUGGCAAGUCCAAAAAUGAGAAACUUUAUACCAUUGGAAACUAGAUUCGAAGUACUAAAAUUUUCCGAAGACACUUUUCCCAGAUUCUAACCAGAAAUCAUUCGAAUUUCAACUCAAAUUUACUGUUUCACAAAGACAGGGCAGAACCAGUUCUUGUUUUUCAGCAAAGUUUGAAAAUUUGGCAAAAUUCACAGGUAUUGAAUUAACCUCUAAAAUUUAUAACACAGCAAGAGUUUCAAGUAAAGUUUCAAACACACCCAGUAGAACUAAAUUCAGAUUUUUGAAAAGCAAGAUACAACAGUUUGAAGAUGGCUGGAUUUUACGACCUGUUCAACAAUUUUCCAUUUACUAGCUUUGACAUAGUUUUGAAAUUAGACCAUAUCUAACUCUACACAAGUCCAAAUUGAGAAUGGUUCAUGGCAUUAGAAACUAAAUUAAAAAUGCUUCAAAUCAUCAGAAGAUAUCGUUUCCAAACUCCUUUCACAAGAGGGACGAAAUUGAGACACAAGAUGCAACUACACAAUUUCUCUCGGACAACUAGGUAAACAGGUCAGUCUAAUUUGCUGAUUCGCUACGGCUCACUCAAAACGAAUUAGCAGGGAAAUUUUAUACCAUUGGAAAAUAGAUUUUUAGUACUACAACAUCCCAGAAGGCACUUUUCAGAGAUUCAAAUCACAAGUAGGCCAAAUAUUCGAUCCAAGUCAAAAAUUCAUUUCUUGAAGAACGGGACAUUCAAGCAGGACAGCCUACUUUGAGGAGUCACGGACAGCAGUACACAUGGACGAAAAAUAUGAAAUUUUUACAGAACAAAGGCCUAUGAGUCUAGUUUCAAAUGUUACUAAUGGCACCUCAAUUGGGUUUUUCUACACCAAGAUAUAACCAUUUUUCUGAGACUGGUCAGUGAAAUCCGAAAAUCUGAAAACUCAUUUUUCACUUGGAAAAACUCCUUUUUCUCUUUUAAAACCACAAGACUUUUAUUCAAACCACCCAUACACUUAAGUAUGACAUUCAUAUCAGCAAUUUUAACAUAAUUUAAGCAUCAAAUUUUGAAAUUAAAUCAAGGAAAUAACUCAAAAAAAUUUUGGCAGCCCCUUCCUCUUCACCUUCAAGUUUCUUUCCAACUUUCAAGCCAACAACCAAGCUAUAAUCCGCAAGAAUAUAAUCAAACAAGUAAGAAUCCUCAAGUCCUCUACCUAAAAGUUCACUUCAAGGCCACUACCUAGGAUAUAAAGCAAGAAACAAGAGUUUUCCUCAAGUCCUCUAGUUUAGAUUUUUGGGUAGGGUUUCCAAAUCCAUGCAACGAUCAUUAUGUGAGGACCCGAAAAAUUUCUUAUUUUUAUUGAAUAUUAUUGGUUUAUUUAAAUAUUUAUUCACCUGUUUUCUCCAAAUAAUUUAUUUCAACCAUUUUAAAUUCAUUCGUAUGGAACAAUGUCUUCCUUAUGUUUUUAAAAAGUCCCGUUAGCAAAUUUAAUUUUUGGAGGUUCGUUUAAGUGAAAAAUAAUAAGUACAUGUGUUUCAUGGUGAUAUUCUAUUUGAAAGUGUAAUUAUUUUGGGGAAAUUAAGAAUGAUCAAUAGUAGAUUAAGAAAAGUGAAUUGAAAAAUUAAAGGUGAAUAAGUUCUAAUUAAGUGCUUACCGCUCGCGCGUCGAUAGUUUUUCGAAAGACGCGCUGAUAUAAAUUUAUUGGAGAUUUAAGAAAGUAAUACUAGACUCAUGUGAGGACCCGCGAAUUUACUUAUUUUAAAUUCCUAUUACUGGUUUAUUUAAAUAUUUAAUUGGCCGUUUGCUCCGAAUAUUUUAUUCUAACCUUUUUAGACCCAAUUACAUGGAACUAUGAUUUACUUAUAUUUUUAAAAUGACUCAUUUCAAAAUUUAAAUUUUGAAAGCUCGUUAAAUGGGAAUAGUGAAUACAUGUUUGGAGUCAAUAAUCGAUUCGAGGACACAAUAAACUUGGAAAAUAGGAGACUUGUACAUUAGUCUUGAAAUAGGUAUUUUUAUGUUUAAGAGUUUAAUUAUUAGUUAGUGAUACUAUCGUUAUAAGCAUUUCUUAGAAUUUUCACUUUAUUGUGCACAAAUCGGAAAUACGCGUUUUCGCGUGCGCGAUUAAUUGAGGGGCUUAAGACCUUUAUUUUGGGACUAUUAAGAGUGAAUAAUAAUAGUAUGAAUACAAGUGCAUUAAAGGUUUAGUGCACUAGUGAAACAAACUCGAGAGAAAUCGAGUACAAAACGCGUGCGCACGCGCGAGGGAGACUUGACUUUUGCUCAAUUUUGGACCACACAUUAAAGCUUCUUUUGGAAGCUUCAUUUUGAUCAAAACUCUCUCUCUCUCUUCACUCCAUUCCAGCCGGCCAAAGGAGAAGAAAAACAACCCCAAGGCUCUUCCAAUUUCUUCUUCAUUUCUUCAUCAAAUCUCCACCAAAUCACACCAAAAUUUAACCACACUUUGCUAAGUACUUGGUGAUCAUCUUAAGCUACCAAAAGAGCUUCAUUUCCAUGGCUUUUCUUGAGCAUCUUUGGACCGAAAUUUCUGCUUGAAGUCACCAACAAAAGUAAGUGAUGAUCAACCUUGAAAAUCUUGAUUUAUGGAAAUUCUAUUGCUCAUAUAAGUUCAUGCAUGCAUGUGGAUAGUUUUAUUUAUGUUAGAAAGUUGAUGUGUGGGCUCUAUGAACUCCCACUAUAGUUGGAUGGACUGAUUUGAUGAGUUAUUAUGUUAUUAAUGUUGGUUUAGUGCCUAAUCUAGUAGAAUAAUUUUGUGUUGUUGGUGGAAACUCAAAGGAUGUGAAGAGGGAAAUUUUCCCAUUUCUGCCCCUGUUAUUUCCGUGACCUUUAGUGCAUUUUUUAGUGGUUCUAAUGACUUGUUUCUAAUGUAUAUGUGUAAUAUAGGUUGUGUACGAAGUUUCAUCAAAAACUUUCAUGAUUUGGUUGGCCAAAUGAUGUGUUUUCGGAAAUCAGGAAAAACUGGAAAUUUUCCCAUAACUGCUCUAGCAGUGUUUUUGUUUUGGCUAUAACUUUUUGCUCCGAUGUCAAAAUCGAGUGCCGUUUGUGGCAUUAGAAACUAGACAUUCCCAAAUUUCCCGUUUGCAGCACAUCCUAGUUCCACCUGAGUAGUCCAUACCAAUCGUUUGAACAUGACUGUCCUAUUUCGCGUCUACACUGGAAGCUCUGUUUUGAGCAGCGAAUUGGUGCCCAAAUAUGAGCUAGUCGUGGACAGAUUUUGGAAACAAUUUCUUCAAAAAAUUGUAGCUUUAUGAAUCUAGUUUUCAAUGCCACUAAUCACACUCAAUUCCAAGUUGAAUUGAGUGAGUUGUGGCCGAAAUACGAAACUAACUCAAUGAUUUGAAACCCUCUUUUUGGCUAGUAAAUGUCUAAAUCUUGAUUGGGACUUGUUGUUUCGAAAUUCUUGGUGUUAAUCACCCUACCAAAUGCAUCUUGUAUGUUUCUUAGACAUUACCUACACAAAGGAUUGAGACAUUUUUGUUGGCCAAACGUUUUGAAAACGGAAACCUCAUGUACAAGGCAGAUUUGCCUUGCAAAUUUGGAAACUUUGGUGAUCUGGUUAAGUAACUUUCCGUGCCUAUUUUUCCAUGAAAAUUAAUAGAGGAAUAGCCCUCAUAUGGUAGUAUAAUACUGCCAAAUUUGGUGCCAUUCUGAGUUCAUUUCGAUGCUCAAACAAAGUCCCAAAGUUUGUAAAUUAAACUGGAAAUUUGCCUAACUGUCUCAAUUUUUCACCAAAUUUGAGCAGCCAUAUCUUGGUGCUCAAAACUCCAAUUCUUGUUAUGCUUGUUUUGUUUGAAACUUUGAUUGCAACUCUAAUUGAUUUUCAAAUCUGAGAGGCUAGUUCAAAUUUUGUAAAUUUUGCCGAAUUUCCAAAGUUGGCGAAAAACCAACCUCAAAACUGUCUCGCAAGCCUAAAACAGUAACUUUAAACCAAUUUUUGGAUGUCUUCCAUUGGAAAUCAUCGAAAAGUGUAUUCUAAAAACUUUUAGUACUUUGGAAGAAGCUUCCAAGGGUACCAAGUUUUUCAAUUUUGGACUUGUAAUGAGUGAGAUACAAUUUUUCAAAGAUCUUGUAUCCAAACUGAAAUUUUCGAAAUUUAAGGAAAUGGAGUUUUUGAAUUCUCCUUUCCCCCUCAAUAUCACAUGAUUGUUUUACACUUGAAUUUAGAGAUGAAAACCAGAUUUCUCUUGUGCUUUAAAACCCUACCUUUGAGCCUCGAUUUAUGAGUAAAUCGGGUUCAUUUUCAUGAAAUUUUCUUAGAUUGUACUCUAGUACAAUCUUCUUCGAUAAUUGGGGUUAUGAGUGAUAGAUUAUUAUUAAUUGCUCAAGCACUCAAGAGAACCUUCAAGAGGAUCUCACAGGAGACGCCUAACUUAUCGCUUGUACUUGCUACUUGAGUUAUUCGGUAAGUGUCAAGUGUGUGAACUAUGUGAUAUACGUGUUACGUGUUAAUUGUUAUCAAUAAUAGAACAUUUUGAAAAUGCUAAGUCGAGUGUGUACUUUAUCGCACUCGUUUUCAUUUAAGUGAAGUGUACUUGAAUUUCAUGACAUGAAAUACUUGAAUUGUUUGAAGUGACUUGUUAAGUGAAUUUAAGGGAAGUGUUUAAGUGUUUGUUUAUGCUAUGGAUGCAUAAGUCGAUCGGAGUAAAUCUCCUCGACUCAAGUGGUAAGUGGGGGACGCCCAAAUCUCACUGGCUAACCUUGAACUCAAGCCGGCAUGGGCUUAGUUGGGCUCCUUGGCGAACCAUGAGAAAACAAAAGCUUGAUUUAUUAAGAGAUCUUACUUGGCAUACUCGAGUAGUAUCGCCUCAAACAAAUGACAGGCGGGCCCGAUACAUGGGUAUGUAAGGUGAAAGGGGACAUGAUAAGUGAAGUUCUACGGACUAAACCUACCCGAUUGACAGAGUGUCAACUCGUGGAGGUUCGUGAUCGUGCAAGUGGAAAAUAGCUCCUGAGAGCUCCUAUAUCCUUGAAUUGUUUCUGUUUACUUUUCUCGCUUGAAUUGUUAUUUAUUGCAAUAUUAUUGCUCUACUUAUUAAAUUGAGAUUGUUACUUGAACGACGUGCCUACAUGUGUGUUCUUGGCCUCACGAGCGUUUUGCUCACCCUGUAGAUUUGUUUUCCUUAACAGGGAAGGUCUGGAGUGAAUCUCGGAGAAACCCCUUUUGAAUGUACUUUUGUAUUAGGGUUUUCAAUGUACUUGGCUAAACUCUAGAGUAUUGCAUAUUUUGGGAUUUGAUGUAGCCUUUGUGAACUUGAUGUAAGGAUUGGAUACUUGAUGUAUUUUGGAACUCGUGAUGUAAGUUUGAAUGUUAUUUAUGGGAGUAACCUUCCUUUCUUACUUAUAUCAUCGUGAUGGCUGGUAUUUCAUUAAGCUUGAACGGGAAUUGUCUUGAGUCCUGACGAGAAUUGGGCAGGCGUCUCGCGGAUAUCCUUUGGUUCGCCUUAGGGAGAAGUGGGGGCAUCACACACUACCCAUUACUAAUCUUUGAAAAAUUAAAGAUCAAAGGGAGUAAAAUUUGUUACCUCUUGAAGGUUUCUUGAACCCUAGGUAGAGCCAAGGUUUUUCACCAACAAUCCACCAAACCCACCACAAGAUUGCAACUUUUCUCUAGUUAGAGCAAUAUCCAAAGGUCUUGAGGGUUGGGUGUGGAUCUUUGAGCAAGAUUAAGGCCAAAGGUUGAUGUUUUUCCUUCCUCCUUUUGAGCUCCAAAUUUCGGCCAAGUAGAGAGAGAAUGUGAGGGAGUUGAAGUUUUGAUUUAUGGUGAAAAGAUAAGAAGAAUGGUAGUUUUUUGUUAGGUGAGAGAGUCAACUUUGACUAGUGGGGUCAUAUUGACAUGUACUACCAAUUCCUUAUGGUUUGCUAUACUUAAAUACUAAUUUUUCAAGGUAGUUCCUCUAACACUACAAUUACCUAUUCUUAUUAGUCUAAAAUUAAUUCUCCAAAUCUCUGAUUAGUCGUACCAGCGCGACUUUUUUGUAAAAUUUUGAUGCGUAAGCGAUAAAAAUAUAAUUUAAGUAAAAUUCACGCUAAAAUAAUAAAAUUAAAUAAUACCAAUGCAAAUAAUUUUAAAAUAGGCUAAAUUAAGAAUAAAAACAUGAGUCCUCACACCUCCUUUAUGAUUAAUUUCCCUCCAUCUAGCAUUAAUGAUGACUUGACAAUAUAAUUUUACCCUUUACACAAUUUCACCUUUACCUUUCUUAUUCAUGUUCUUCAUUUUAACCAUAAGAAAAUUGUUAAAAAAAAAAGAGUUUUUAUUCUCUCCCAAAAGGAAGUAAAAGUAAAAAAUAAAAAGGAGAGUUUUAUUCAUGAAAAUUGAAGACUUGACAUUUUUAUAAUUUCUUUUUAAUGUUUUAUUUUCACCCAUCGAAUUAAAGAGGCAUGUAUGCAUAUCUGUUCUUGCAAUAAAUAUAUUAAAAUAAAAUGGGCUAUCUCAAAUGUAUAUUUAUCAAAUCCUUUAAUCCUAUGAAACCCUAACUUAUAUAUAUGUGAAUAUGAAACAACAGAAUCAAGACAUCAAAUAAGUUGCAAAGUUGAGUUAGGAAAAAUUAUUUCAUAUUUACUUUUAAAAAUAUAUGCUCUUGAUCGAAUGAUAAAAGAAUUGAUGCGAGCCAACUUUUAUGGCUAUCUAUGCAAUUAAGUGUCAUCAAUUUUUUAUAACCAUAAAUUUUUAAGACAAGAAAAAUUAGCUCCACCUUUUUUUUCUUUUUUUUUAAAUAUCAAACUAUAUAAUUAUAAUGGCAUUUUGGAGACAUUAAAGUAAAUUUAUGUUAAAAUUGGUUAAUUUCUAUUUAUUGAUUAAGAGUAUAGGAGGCUUUUGAUGUUAUCUAAUAAACAAGAGGGGAGGUUAUUGUUAUUCUUAAAUCGAGAGGAAAGGUAUCUAAUUUUAGUAAAAACUAGAGGGAGGUUUAGUGUUAUUUACCCAUAAGUUUUUAAAUGUAAUUUUUAGCUUGCUCCUCCCCCUUUCUCUCUCUUUUUUUUUUUUUUUUUUGUUUGAGUUUUCAAGCCAUCAACUGAGACAAAAUAUGUUAGAAAUUUUUAAAAAUUCUGAACAACUUAUAAACCUCCUUUGAUUUACCUAGAGCACUUUACAAUGAAGAAAAAUUUUUUUAAUAGCAAACCCUACACUAAACAACAUUAUUUGUAAUGUUGGCUGAAUUGGAGGAGUUAUGGGGCUUAAUGCACAAUUUUGUCCAUAUUUCUCAUUGUCUAUGACAAGCUAAUCAAGCUGCUAAUAUGGUAUAUAAUCUUGCAAAGGAUCUUGCAACUCAUGUUCAAGGUGCCUUAAGGAUUGAUAGGUUGGGUCUCCCUUCAUUUAGAAAAUUUGUAAAGACAUAGUCUUUAUAUUUUUCUGUUUUUUGGUUUUUUAAUUCUCUCAUACACAUUUUGGAUGUUACGUAUAUGUUUCCCUCCUUAUUUAUUAUUUAAUCUAUUAAUAAAAUUUAGGAGUGGCGCCUCUCUCCCAUGUAUAGCAUGUGCCCUGAAAAAAAGGCAAAUCCUAUAUACGAGAGAGGGAUGCCGGUGCUUUAUUUUAUUAAUGAAGAAAAUAAUAUUUUUUGGUAGCUUGAGAAUAAUUCAAAUGAGCUUUUAAUGAUAAGUCAUUUUGGAAUGAAAAAUAUUUGCUAUUUAUAGUUGCAAUUGUAAUAUUUUGUGUCAUCAAGCUCACAACUUCUGGCUUUUUGACAUUGUUUUCUACCUUUUAUCAACAUUCUUAGAAUUUUGUAUAAUAAAGGACAAAAUAGGGUAUGUAGACACCAAAAUUUUCCAAAUUCUUCACAAAAAAAUAAUAAAAUAAUUUUUUCAUUUCUUUAUUUGUAUUUUUAUUGUUUAAGUAAUCAUUUUUAUUUUUUGUUUUUUGUGUUAUUUUGUAGGGAAAAGGAGAAAUGAAAAUGGGUCUUCAAAAUUGAAAGAAAAGGUAGAGAUUUUCUUUUGUUUCAAACCCAAUCAAACUCCCCCUAAACCCAACCAAAAAUUCCUCCCAAAGUCCAAUCAAAAUCCCAAAAAAAAAAAAAAACUAUGGGCAAAGUUUCACAAAAAUCCAAAUCAAAGCCCAAACAAAACCCAAGCCAAAACCCCCAUAAGCCCAAGGCAAAACCCCAACAAAAAUUAGGAAAAGAAAGAAAAAAAAAGAGGCCCAUUAGCCCUUUUGCUUAAAAAAAAAAAAUUCUUUGCAGCAACAAAAAACUAGCAAAUAGUACAAGAAAUGAGCUAAAUUUUCUGGAGCAAUUUACAUUGUUUUUGUUUCUUAUUUCUUUCCUCCCAAAUUCAUCAAGUACUAGGGCACAUCAUCACCAAAAAUACACUAAGAAAACAGCUGGCAAAUGGAUCUAAAGGACCAAAUAAACCAAAAACAACUUGGUUUCAAUCUCAGCCAUCAUUCUUAGGGUUGUAGCUUGUUGGUUUCAUUUAAAAGGCUGAGCAAUGAGUCGUUAGGAUUGGGGAAGAGGUUUUAGAAAAGUGGGCAGAAGCAGCAAAAGAGAAAAAAAGAGAGAAAAAGCAAGAAAAGAAAAAAUUCCGCCUACAAAAAUUUGGAAAAAAAGCUAACAAACCAGCCUAGAUCGAAGGGGCUUUUCUCCUUCAUUAUAGAUCAUAUUCCAGUUAUUGUUCUUUCUGCAUUUUUGUGAGACAGAGGGGAAUAACUUUUGUGUUGAAGAGUUUUGCCGAAAACUAUCAAAAAUUCCUCAAAUGGCAGCCCAAACUUUGCUCCUCAAAAAUUUUUCUGCAGAAAACUGAGCCAAGGUUGACUGAACAGCCAUGUUCGUUACCUGAUUCUGACCAAUUCCGACCUUCUUUUGAGGCAAUUAUUUUUUCUACACCAUCUCUACAUGUAGGGGAACAAUUUUGGUUUUGCAAACCUCCUAAAAAAACGUCAUUAAACACCUCAAAUUCAAGCUUGAAAUUGCAACUUCGUUAGUACUUGGAACACUGCAGCAAGAACUUGUUUGAUUCGUUUUCCGCAUUUGGGGAACAUUUUUUUCGAGUUUUUCCACAUUGGUUUGAGUCCUCAAACAUCUAUAGGUAAUUAUAACCCUUUCUCUCGGUUGAAUUAAUGUUUUUCAUGAGAUUUUAAGCAAUUACAUGAGUUUUUAUGGGUUUUACACCUUAGAUCUCAUUUUUCUCAUGAUUUAUAGUGUUUGAUAGUCCUAUUUGAUAUUUAAAUUAACUCAUGAGAUCAUGGAAAGCAUGUUUAUGUCAAGAUCUGACUUUAAACGCCCUUGGAAAAAAUUUUCGGCCAGAUUUUAGCCAUUUUGGCCUGAAUUUUCCAGAUUCCAGUAGAUCGAUCCACCGGAAACUUCAUACCCACCGAAAACUUCAUAUUGAUUUAACUUAUGUUCCUUUUAUUUUGUUUUUGUUUGUUAUGGUUUGAUUCUCCAAAUCUAUGUGGCCUGAUGUUUUGGUGUUUGUGGGUCUGAUUAGUUGGGCUUAUCUUUUAUUUUGCUUUGGUUUGUGCAUGGGUUUUGAUGUUCAAACCCAAUCAUUUAUUAAAUCUUGAUUCAGUAAAAUUUGGGCUGAUCGACUUUUUCUUAACAGCACUACACGGUCAUUUAGUUGGGCCGAAGUGGGUUUGGCCCAAGACACAACAAAUAAACAAAAAACAAAAAAAGGCCCAGGUUCUAUUUUGUUAUCAGAAAACAAUUUUUGUAAUUUGGCCCCUGAUCUUAUAAAUAAUUUAGGGUGGCUCUAAAAUUUUGGAUUUCUUUCAUUUAGGUCUUUAAUUUAAUUACAUUUUCAUCCUUAACUUUAUUUUUAUUCAAUUUUGACCUCUACUUGUUUGAGAAUUAUAAUUUGACCCCAAAAACUUCUCAAUUUGUAUAAUUAGGUCCCUAUUCUUUAUUAUUUCUUAAUCACAAUUGUUUAUCCUCUUUAAAUUGUUAAUCAUGCUCCAAUUAAAUGCAUCUAAUUUAUAAAUUUUAGGGAUUUUAUGUUUAUUCAUAUUUCACUAGAAUAAUAAAGUGAAGUUGCUAUAUAUUUACAUUUUCUUUAAAAUUAUUAAUUAAAUUAGUGCAUUGAUCAUUUUGUUAAUUUCGAAGUAUAAAUAGGGCAAACUCUACCUCAUUUAGUCACUACUUUAAGGGAGAUACCCUUUAUUAUUUUUAAUCCUUUUUUAUGUGCUCCUAUGUGUUUUUAUAUGUGAUUGCAUGCUUUAAGUACUUUUUCUUUUGUUCACUCAUUUUAUUCAUUUUAAGCCUUUUUUUAUUUUAUUUUAUUUAGAUGUUUGUUUGGAAGGCAUUUAAAAGCCAAAUUGUAAUAGAUAUGUUGUAUCCUCUUGCCCAAGAAAUGUAUUUAGAUAGGUGAUGUAAUAUAUAGAUUUUAUUGUUUUACCAAAAAUGUAAUUAGUCAAAUAAAUGUAAUAGAUAGGCUUAUUAUUUUCAAAAUUCCCCUUUUAGAUUGUAAGUUAGGGUCCCUAAUGUAAUAGUUAGAUUUUAUUUGCUUUGCAUGCUUGUGUGGUUAUGUGUUUUAUUUGGUUUUUUUAGAGUUUUGCGUCUAGAUAUUGUACCUAUGUAUUAUGUGCUCUAUAUACUCUGUGUUUUAUGUGUUUAUUUGCUUUAAUUACGCUUUAUAUAUUUUAUUUAUUUAUAAUGAGUGGCUGACGUCACCACACUAGUCCAAUGCUAGUUGUGGCUUUUUUCCCUGAUUUCUCAUUAGUCCAACUCUAAUGAGGACUUGUAGAAAUGGACUAGUUCAAUGCUAGACCCUUUAGGUCAUCGGUACGCUAGAUUCAUGGUUUGGUGCAACAUUUAUUGCAUCUCAUGUAUUUUUUUUUUCUAUUUUUAGGUUAUUUUCAUUUGCAUGAUUUUUUUCUACUAUUAUUUCCUUACCCUCUAUACGUUUGGACGAUUAUUUAGAAUUGUAUCUCAUUUUAGGAAAUUAGAAGUAAGUUAAUUCAUUUGCUUGAUUAGAUUAGAAGAGCCAUUCUUUGAAUGUAGGAAAUGAACGAGUAUGACUUUUUAGCUUUAACACGCUUUUACCCUCUCUAUAAGAAGGAAAAUUGUAUCACGAAUUUUAGCAUCUCGUCCCGUUAUGCUGCAUUCUUCUCUUCUAGGUCACGUGUAUUUAUCUAUAUAGCAUAAUUUUCUUUUCUUUGACUCUCAUCUUUUGCAUAUUCUUGACCUCUUUAAGGGAUUAGUUUUGAGCUUCAUAAUUAAUGUGAUUUGCACCAAUUAAAUUUCGAAGAGACAUUUUGUCCCUUUCAAUACCCCCAGGUCUAGGUUUGCAUCUAUAUAGAAGCAUCUGAAUGUGAUAAGUUCUAUAUGUUAGAUUAGGAAAAGUUUUGGCUAAAUCUUGCAACUAGUCUUGACUAGGUUGAAAAGAUGUUUUAAAUCAAAAUCUUUGCCUUCCUUUUUUCAACCGUAACUGCCGAACUUUUUUCUCUUAUUUUCGAAAAUUUGUAGUCAUUUAAAAAGGUUUUAUUUACUUUUUUCAUUUUCAAACAUUUUUUGGUAUUUUGGUACACCUAAAGUCGAUACCAAGUGACGACUCUACUUUUUUUCUAAAGACUCUUUUUAGACUAUCAAUUUGGAUCCAAAUCGUUGCAUUUUCUAUGUUCUAUUUUAGGCCCUCUUUCUUUAUUUUCUAAAAUAAAAUCAAAAACUCAUUUUUCUAAAACCCUUUUCUAUUUUUCAAAAAUGGGGCGCGACAGGGUAAGUUUGGAAUGAGAUUAUCUUCUCUCUUCAAAUGAGUUUCUAACCGUAUGCUUUGAAAUUGGUUGACAAUGCUACAUAAAAUCAAAAUUAGGGGAGCUCAGUGAUUUUUUCAAAUAUCAGAGUUGUUGAGUGAUACUAGGAAGGUUAGUAAUAUUUUCAAAAUUUAGGAGUGUUAAGUGAUAUCAUCAAAAACCUCAAUGGGUGUUUUUGGAAUUAUCCCUAAUUAUUAACCACAAACAUGUUCUCCUCUUUCAGCAAUUUAAUGGAUUUGGCUACAACAACGCUAUAUAUGAAAUAAAUUAUUGCUGGUAAAUUGUAAUUUUUUCAAAAUAUAUUUUUUUCAGUAAUAUUAUUUCAAAAUGUUUGGAAUGAAUUAUGCAAUCAAUUUCAAAGAAUCUAAAAUGGAUAACUAGUGGUGAUGUAAAGCCGGACAUGAAAGCCGUUACGGAUGAAUUUUGGCAUCAUUACCCCUCCAUUUUGCAAGAGGGACGUAAACUAAUAAAUUGGGUCCGUUUGGAUGUCUUUUUUUUUUUGGCCUGUUUUAGAAAUUCAAAAUUUGUUUAAAACACCAACUAUGGUAACGCCUAAAAUACCUACAAGUCUCAGAAAAAUACUUACAUAAAUAUAUUAAAUAAGGUAUCAGUGGCGGAGGUGGAUAGUGGUCGUGGAUGGCGGAAGUUGCCGGUGGUGGGGUUAGGGGAAGGGGUGUUUGAAACACUAAGAGGUGUUUUAGGUGUUUUGGACAAACAACAACAUUUUUUUUCUAAAACAUUUUCAGUAACUUAUCGUAAAAUUUUAGACAAAUACUCAAAAAAAAAAAAAACACCAUUCAAGCAGCAAUUUAAAAAGAAAAAGAAGAAAGAAACUCAAGUGGACCUAGAUCACGGCAAUAAUUUUCUAUUGAAGAAUAAGAAGAGGCAGCUGCAUCUCCAAAAAUUUUAAAGAUUUUAUUUGCACAAUGAAUUUUGAUCUCACUAUUGAUUUAGAAUUGGAAAAAUGGUAUUGGGUACAUCCGCAAUUGUCCAGUUGUGCUGAAUGCGGUUUUGGACAGCUUUGGGCUCAAUAUUGAUGGCUUCUUUAUUUGGACAAAAUGAGCAGCCACAGGAUUGCCCCAUAUUCACGACUCCCUUAACCCAAUAAUAAAUUAUUGCAUGUAUGAUAGGGAAGCCCCGCCGAGAAACUCAAUUUGAUACAAAAAAAACUCCAUCACUAUUCAAUUAUAACAGGAUGAACAGAUGGAAAAAUAAAAUAUUCAUUGGCAUCAGAAACUUUAAUCCUUUCCCGUGUCUAUGCAUAGGAGAAAAUAAAAUGCUUCAUCAAAUUGAUCUCUUUCUCAAUUGAUUCUCUCAUUAAUGGAAAAUUGAAAAAGGCCUUCAAUUUUUAUGUUAUAUUGCUUAACUAUAUUAAGUCCUAGUUUACAGAGAACAAACUAGUUGGCUGGAUGAAAUAAUGCGGUAUAGUAGGUGUUGCUCUUCACAUACUUUUGUUAGCAAGGUCAGAAGACUAGCAUUAUCUGUAACUGUCUAGGACAUAUGGGAAAAUCAGGAAUCAUUGUAUAUUUCGAGCUGGACAUUUUAUUGCCAGUGGGAGCCAUUGUUAACAAUAUAUGCUCUAUUAUUAGUUUAGGGUUAAUACCACUUUGUCCCCCCAAACUUUGGACGAUUAUCCACUUUAGUCCCUAAAUUUCAAAAUGAGACACUUAAGUCCCUAAACUUAUAAAUACUUCCCACUUAAGGAAAAUUGUUAACAAAUCCUGAAUGCCGUUGGUGGUUGAAGUGUCCCAUUUUAUAAGGGUUUAGGGAUUUAAGUGGGAGGUAUUUAUAAGUUUAGGGACUUAAGUGUCCCAUUUUAAAGUUUAGGGACUGAAGUGGAUAAUUGUCUAAAAUUUGGGGGGACAAAGUGGAAUUAACCCAUUAGUUUAUUACCGUACGGAAGAACGUUAGCUGCACCAAGGCAAAUUGGAACCUCGCUAUAAUGUUUGCCUACAGCAUAGUAUAGUAUUUAGUAGUAUUGUUAGUAAUAUUUUCCAAAAAAAAAAAGGCUAUAUCAGGUCCAACCUCCAAGAGUUGUUGUAAGAUUCAUUCAAUGAUAUGUUGGGUUUGUUUAGGAGAAAUAUUUGCUUUUCGAAUAUCAAACAGCAAACGAAAAUAUGAACGCUUUUAAGAACGGCAUGCAAUAUGAUAUGUCAAUACCAAAUAAGUUGAUAUCCAUUUGUUAGAUAUAAUUUUUUUUUUAUUUUGGACAAUUGCACAGCGCUCUACUGGUUAGCUAUUUGAGUAUUAGUGAACUUUUAAUUAAGAAUUUAAGAUUAAUCUUGUACUCCCUCCUUUUUUUUAUAACUGACGUUUAAGAAAUUUGAUUUUAAGUACUUUUAUCUGUCGUUUUAUUAUCCCUAUGCAGCAUUAAUUAUUUUUUUACAAUUUUACCCUUUUAUCUCUCUUUUCAUAAUUGGUGGGAGUUAGUUUGCAUUGCUUUUGGCCUAGUAAAACAGCACCAUUUAAUACUCUAGUGAGAGAAAACAUGGGUGAAUUAGACAAUUAAUGAGGGUACAAAAGGAAAGUAGUGUAUAGAUUUAAAUAAUGAAAAACUUUUCUUAAUUGGUGUGCAAAACCUUAAACGUCAGUUAUAGAAAAAGGGAGGGAGUAUAUACUAAAGUGUAUAAACUAGUGUGCAUAAAUGCAUAUUACACGUGCAAUAAUGAAAAUUUAAAUUCAAAUUGAGAUCAUGUGAUAUAUUCAUACUCGUUAGUGUAUACAUUUUUAGAUUAUAUAAAAUUGACUCUUUUAAUUACGCGCGGUGGUUGAUAUUAUCUUUCUUAGAUAAUUGUUUUGCAAUAUAUUUUUGCCCCCAAAGUUGAAAUCCGGGUAGGCAAUGUAUUUACUAUCACUUGAAAAGAUGGUUGGCAGGAUAUCACAUUGCCAAGCGAGAUUUUUUAUGAUCUUUUCUUGCACUAUACAAGUUAGCUUUGCUAGGUCUCCCACAAAUACGUACCCUACCUAACAUUUGUGGGGACUUUGAGUCUUUCACAAAUGCUAUUCUGGCAUUCGAUAGCAUGCGUCGUACAAGAAAUAUUACUUAUUUGGUGGUUGUUUAAGCUGGCAGCAACAAGAGUUUUUUCGCAGGGCUUCAAGAAAGGAGUUUUAAAGUCUAGAGGUUGAAAGACACGGAAGAGCACGCCCGCCUGGAAAUGGAAAGCACUUUACUUCACGCAUUAAAGGCAUUAGGAAAUACUAACAAGGAAAAACUCAUGGGACUAACUCGAGGAGAGACACUAGCUAUAUAAAGAACCCUCAAGGAAGAGCCACAAAAACAACAGAAAGGUGGACUAGUUCAAAGCAGCUGCUUCGAUUGUCAAAAUUUAAAGAGUGCAACUGGGACUUGCCUGCUUGAUACCACUUGCAGGGCUUUUCAAAAUUCCAAUAUCAGAUAUUUGAUUAUAACUAUAGUAGAAAAUACGUAGCAUUCUCCAAAGUUAGUAUGAGGGAUUGAGAGAUGCGUAAGAACCUUGAUAAGCAUAUUGUGAUUCGGUUGUCUAGUUUAUGAAGCUCCCUCUCCUCCAAGUUCGGCAUGGUGACCAUCAAUAGAGCAAGUCACCCUCGCAAUAUAAUACUAUUGCUAUAAAUAAAAGGAUCCUGUUACGAUAACCGUAAUUUCAAUAAAAGGCUUAACACCUUGCAUAUUGAAGAGGUGAUUUCUGGUAGGUAUCCGAACCGACCUGAAUCAGUCCUCUCUCAAGUGAGGUAUGAUAGAUUCGCUUGUCCGAAGUGAAUGGCGGAGCUUCUCCCCUGGGAUCACUCCGACGAUCAAGUCAGUAUAUUGAGGAAACAAGAAAUAAAAGGGGACGUGAACGAAACAGUGUGCUUCCUUGUUGGGAGUGAACAGGGGGUAUUUAUAGGACAGGAGUGAAGGACAGGACGGUGGGCUUAUGCUAGCGAGACCCACAUCCUGACUAUUACGGCUCUGUUCUGCAUCUACAGGUCUAAUUCUGACACUAUAGCAGUCUGGACAUGCUGACAGGUAGUCCUGUGCAGUAGCCAUUAAGAGCAUUGGUAGCUUUUUAGAUAAAGCAAUGGCCUUCAGUGAAGUGUCAGGCAGGUUGACAUCAUCCACGUGGAGCUGGGAUGACGCACCUAAAGUACAGAGGUCUUCCGUGACGUAGACUUGAGAUACAACCGAGGUCAGGGGAAGGAGUCAUGGCCCAAGGACAUCUCGUUCUGUAUGGAGGACGAGGUGGUAUGACCUCGGCCUAUCCGAAGGCCGAGGUGACCAUCCUCACAUAUCACACCAAACAGACAACUGAGACAAAUCUAAACUCCACUUGUAGUGAAUCGUACUACAGUAGUUUUUAUCGGUUUUUAUUUUACCUAUUUUGACAAAACAAAUAUAAUUAGUAGAAUCUCAAAUUAGAAUAUAAUUCUAUAUUCACUCCAUCUGGUAUUUUUCUAAUAAAAUUUAUCUUCCUUCAAAAAAUGUUAUCAUGGUCCUUUUCGUUUCUCUUGUUAAUCUAAAUAAUUGGUCAAUUUGCUCGAGGAAGUUAUCUUCUAUGUUACCAUCCUGUUGGUGAACAUGUACUUUUACAUAUCUCUUAGAUUUGUUUUGUUUGGACUCCAACCACCCAAAAAAAAUAUCAAUAAGUGAAUGAAGGGACAUUAACCAAUGGCACUUUGAACUAUAUGUCACCACCAAAUACUUUAAAUCUUGAUAGAAUAGGAGAUCAAUGGUUCAAACCUUACUUCCCAUGGCUGUGCCACUAUAUGUGACUUCUCCUAAAUCCAUACAAGCACGUAGUGUACCUAUCUAGUUUGAUGGUGGUUCAGUCUUUGUCGAUUUUUUUAAACUCUUUUGGGUCUCCUCUUAGUGUAGGCUAACACUAAAGUAGGAGUAGGAGUAAGUUAAACUAGAUUUUGCCGUUUGAUUAAAAAAAAAUGAAGGGACAUUGCCCACAAUUUUCAACAAAGAAAUUUAUAGCCACCAACAUGCUGAUUUUUCUGCUUAUAAUAAAGGGCCAUUUAGGAAAGCAGUGAUUGUCAAAAUGAAAGGCUAAAAUAAAUCAACAGUGCUUUGGGUACAAUGAAUCAAACAUGUUUGGGGACAAUUACAAAUCACAUUGCACUUUGUUUGGGAUGGGGCUCCCCCGGAGAGGGGGUGGGGGGGGGGUGGGAACUAGGGACUUUACAAUAUUAGAAAACUUGAACAUGGCAUGAGUCAUUCCGUAAGGAACAUUUAUCCAGAAACUUCAUAUUUGGUAUUCCACACUUUCGUUGUGCAUGGAAAACCAGAGGUGGAAUGCUUUGCUCAUGGUAGAAAAAAUUAUUUGGAUCAACUUCACCUUUAAUGACUGCCAACCUCUUAAAAUUAUCUUUGAAAUACCUUGAUCCCCAUGCCUUAGCUUUUGAAUAAGUAACAGUGCCAGAAACACCAUUUACACCUAAAUCAAGAUCUCUACCAUUCCAAAUAGCACCUCUUGGCCCUUUAGACACAUAAGGAGUCAUGAACUCAUAUAAUGCUCUUAUCCAAUUGAUGUUCCUUUCUGAAGAUUCACCAUUCUCAUCGUUCAUCCAUAACACCAUGUAGAGGAUUUCAAAUAUCACAUCUUUCCUAUGCGGAUAUGGACUUUCUGAUUCUGGUAUCUCGUUCAUUCUUCCACCAUAAGGCUGCAAUUCUAGGUAGAUAAAAGGAGAAUUUGCAUCCGAACACCUUUUCCAGAGCUCUUCUAAUGCCUCAUAAGGUAUGGGCUUGUAAACCAAGUCUGACUUGCCUUUGAAGUAACUAAGACGUCGCGGAUCUAUUCUGUUUUUUAGGGCGUCUGCAGUUUCCCCACUUUGAUACUCCGCGAAAUGGAGAACAGAUUCAAUCCAACUCAUCUCAAUGCAAUCUUCUUUUCUCAGGCGAAUUUUGGGGAAGCUCUCCUCCAUCAUUUUCAGGAGCUGAUCAGCUCUACCGAGGAACAAUGAACUGAAUGUUGCUUCAAUUCCUUCCCUCCCAAUGCUUGGUGAUAUUAUGAUUCUAAAGAGUAAAUCUUCACUUAGCUUGUGUGCUUCAAAUUGCCAUUUGUAAAUUAGACUUAUGGCUCCUUCUUCCAAGGUCUUAGUUAAUUUGAAAACGGUAACUAUAGGUGGAACAUGGACAAGCUUGAUUUUCCAAGCAACUAUAACUCCAAAACUUGCUCCGCCACCUCCUCUUAUGGCCCAAAAAAGAUCAGUUCCCAUCGAUUUCCUGUCUAGAACUCUACCAUUAAUAUCAACUAUUCGUGCAUCAAUGACAUUAUCAGCAGCUAGCCCAUACUUUCUGAUCAAAUUACCUACUCCGCCACCACUAAAGUGUCCUCCAAUACCAACAGUUGGACAAAGGCCUGCUGGAAAGCCAUGAAUACGACUUUUCUCUGCAAUCCAGUAAUACAAUUCGCCUAUGGUUGCACCAGACUCAACCCAAGCAGUGUUUGCUUCAAUGUCAAUGCUAACAGACCUCAGGCUUUUGAGGUCGAGCACAACAAAUGGAACUUCAGAUCUGUAUGACGUGCCUUCGUAGUCAUGCCCACCACUUCGGAUUCUGAUCUGCAAUGCACUUUGUUUGCAACACUUUACGGUGGUUUGAACAUGAGAAUAAUCUAGAGGAGUGAUUAUGGCCAGCGGUUUUGGGGUAGUAGGUGUCAAGAACCUACGAUUAUGAAUGGUAGAAUCCAAUAUAGACUUAUAGGAAGAAUUCUUGGGAACAUACAUGACAUUGAGAAUGGAAACAUUUGAAGGAGAUACCUUGUGAGAAAGGCAAUGGAUGAAACUUUGAGGAAUCAAACUUGAACAUGAACUUAAAAUCAGAUGAAAAAGAAUGGAAAUCACUAACAAAGUCUUAGAGAUUUCUGUCAACAUAUCUAUGGAUUUCUUGGACUGCGUUUGCCAUCCACAGUCCAUGAGUAGUUUUCAGACUGGCCUCAACCAUUGAAGGCAAUGUUGCUAUCUGCCUCUGCCAAAUAAUAGUUGCAGUUAGGUAGUCGCAGCCUGCUGCGCGGUAUUAAUCUCAUUAUCAAUAUUAAAUUGGUUAUGAUUGCAAAAAAAAAAAAAAAUUGUUAAACUGAUUAUUUAUUACGAUGUAAUCGUUGCAAGAUAUUUUGUCAAACUGAAAAUUAACUACUUAGGACAACGAAGAAGUAUAUGUGUUUAGCAACUGUGCUACAGUCUUCACUUGAUCGUUCCAAUUUAUCGAAUGAAGCAAGCAGAACAGUUUAUGGUUUUCCCUCAUAUAAAUAUGAACUAUGCUACAAUAUCCUUUUGCUCAAGCCUAAGAACUUAAAAAAUAAAAAAAAGCAAAUAUCUGAAAAUUUUUUAAUCAUAAUUUCAUACUCGAAUCACUUCACAAUAUGGUUUGUGUGACGAUUAAUUUUAAUGGUAAACUUAUCAAAAAUAGAAUAUAAACAGUUAUAAGGUACUGUAAAAGAGUCAAAAUACUUUAGUCAAACAGAUGCUGCCGAGACAGAGUGUAUAGCAUGUUAUUCAGUCAAGGUUUAGCGUUUAUAAUAGCGAUAAUUUCAGAAAACCUUCGAAGAGGUUUCAGACUAUUUUACUUGACUCCCCUGAAUUUUAAAUAUUACACUUAUUUCCUCAAUUUUGAGUUUUAAUGUAACAGUGUCAGCCCAAGUGCAUAAAAAAUCCAUAUAAAAUGCUAUAAAGUAUUUUUAUCACCCUUCAUGGCUUAUAAAUAAGGAUAGAACAAAAUUAACUAAAAUAAGUUCAAAAUUCAUUUCAAAGUGAAUGAUGUUUAUCUAAAAAAAAAUUAUUUGUGACAGGUUAGAAAGAGUCAUAAAUGUUUUAACAAAACAUUGUGAGAAUUAAUAUCUAAACUUUGACUUUUGAGAAUCCUUAGGGUCAAAAGAACUUGAAAUUGCAAAUUCAUCUUUAAAAAAUGGCUAUAAAUUGUAAAAGAAAAUGAAGUGACAUAUCACCCAUUAGCAGUAAUGAAGUAUGCCACAUAAUCACAGCUAGGAACAUCUAAAAAUGAAAAUCUUAAUUUGGCGAGUAUAAUUUGUUAUUUUUCUUAAGUAUUUCUAAACAUGAAAUUUUUAGGUUUGUACUUCUCUGGAUGGCUUUAUUAUGAUUUACCUCACAAUUUUACCCUAUAACAUUUUAUAAGAUCAAGUUAAAUCCUUUUUGUUGCAUUUUUCUAGUCCUGUUCUAAGUUUAUUAUAUCGGUAUGCAAGGUAAUUUGGGAAAGAAAAUACUCUUCAACCUUUCAUAUGACUUUUUUAAGGUAUAUGGAUUGAUUUUGCUACAUUGAUAUUCAAAAACCAUAGAGGAGCCAACUGAAAUUGUCAGAAAGUUUAAGAGAAGUUUAUGAAAUUAUCCAUUAAUGAUAGGUAGAAUCAAUAUUUUGUUUCUGACGAUUAAGGGCUGGUGCAGCUGUGAAUAAUCAUUAUAUUUAGGGUAAAACACACAUAAUCCCCAUGUGGUUUGGGGUAUGGUCAUCAAACUCCAUCAUUGUUUAAAAAUUUCAUUAUAGUUUGGACUAAGUUGAAAAAAUGGGCAGAAGCCAUGUGAUUUGACUGGAAAAAAAUGUAAAAUUUCUAUAUUAACCCUGUUUUCAAAUUAUUCUAAAAGUUAGUUUAGGAUUUAAUUAAGAUUUCAAACCUUUCUUGCUUCAUUUAAGACAAAAUUAAAAUUCAAGGGCUCAUUUGAAAAAUCUAAAAGUUUAUCAUCUUCUCCAACCAUGAUGUUCAAAAACCCUUCCGUAGUAGUGGUUGGGGCAAAAGCCGCCCACCAGCCGAUUUCACCGCCAGUGUCUCAAUUCAACCAAAAAAAAAAAAAAAAAUUUACACCAUCAGCACCAAUUUUCACAUAGAUCAAGAUUUUCACAUCAGAUUUGACCAAAGAUGAGUUAAAAAAUAGCGAAAUAGGCACGAACAAUGAUGAGCUUAAUCAUUACAUUCAAUCCAAAUGCAAGAAAAACCAACAAAAUGAUGAAUAACAAUCAUCCUUUGGAUCAGGAAAAUCGAUAUAGAGUACUGAUUGCACACAAAAAGCAACAGAUUUCAAUUAAUCAAAAGCAAAACACAAUACCAGUCUUAGUUUAUAUCCGAACUCCAUCCCGGUUCCUUUGGAUCCAAUUUCUGUCCGGCCUUAACA
Molecule: long non-coding RNA, 58574 nt
Filed under: Coffea arabica (coffee)
Lineage: Eukaryota; Viridiplantae; Streptophyta; Magnoliopsida; Gentianales; Rubiaceae
Description: long non-coding RNA (CARA_LNC005107)
Source: RNAcentral